AAAAAAAAAAAAGAUUGGCUGAACUUGAAAAUUUACUCAUUGAAUGAGUAAACGAGUGAAUCGGAUUCGGUUGGGUGGUACCAACUAAAUCGAGUGCUAUCUCCCAUUUAUCUCUUAUUGAAUUAACUGAUCAACUUGCUAUCGGACAUUUAUUUUCGAUUUGGUAUUAUUCCAAAAAGGAUUUCGACAUAUUUCACUUUAUUAUAAUUAUGAGAAUCAAUCCUAUUACUUCUAGCCCUGCGGUUUCCACACUUGAAGAAAAAAACCUAGGGUGUAUCGCUCAAAUUAUUGGCCCAGUACUGGAUGUCGUUUUUCCCCCGGGCAAAAUGCCUAAUAUUUAUAACGCUUUGGUAGUUAAGGGUCGAAAUACUGUCGGUCAGCAAAUUAAUGUGACUUGCGAGGUACAACAAUUAUUAGGAAAUAAUCGAGUUAGAGCUGUAGCUAUGAGUGCUACAGAUGGGCUGACGAGAGGAAUGAAGUGAUUGACACGGGAGAUCCUCUAAUAAGUGUUCCGGUCAGCAGAGCUACUCUUGGGCAAAUCUUCAAUAUUCUUCGAGAGUCUGUUGAUAAUUUAGAUGCCGUAGAUACUCCCACAGCAUCUCCAAUUCAUAGAUCUAUUCGUUUAUUAUUUCGCUGCGCCCACUAGUACAUAAUAAAAAAUAUAUAUAUAUAUAUAUAUAUAUAUAUAUAUAUAUAUAUAUAUAUAUAUAUAUAGAGUAGGGCUGCUGUGCUCUAAGGAGCACAGAGGCCUUCGUGAUCCUGAGCCGUUUUCGAUGAUAGAGUUUUCGAAUCGACGAUCAGUUCCGUUAAACUUGAUCUAGCAUAUUUGAAGUUUCUAGAAAAUAAUUUUUGCGAUUUUUCGAUAUUAUUUACCUAGCAAUCGAAAUGAUUCAAAAUCAAUAACUUUUAACGGCUGUAAAUAAAAAUUCUAUAAAAAGUGGUGAUAUAGCACUAAAAUUUUCGAUCAGAAAUAUUGAUCUUGUUAUAGAUAGUAUAAAGAAUUUUGCAUCAAAAUUUCAUCUGAUUUGAAUAAUUCUACACCGUUAAACUUGAAAACGGCAGAUAUUAACCAUUAAAAAUUAUGGAUUUUGAAUCCUUUCAACCACUAGGUAAAUGAUAUCAAAAAAUCAUAAAAAUUAUUUUCUAGGAACUUCAAAUGCGCUAGAUCAAGGCUAACGGAGCCAAUCGUCGAUUCGAAAAUUUCAUCAUCGAAAACAACUCAGGAGCACGGAGGCCUCCGUGCUCCUGAGAGCACGACAGCCCUGCUAUAUAUAUAUAGUCCGGCUGCUAUGCUAUUAAUAGCACCAAGCACUUGGUACUAUCAAGUUUUCUGCCGUUAGAUUAACCCCUUUGAUUAUUUUUAUCCGUUAGAUUAUACUAUUCAACCAACCAUCCACUCAACCCUAGGGACUUCACAUCAUCCUAACCGAACAUUUCUCAAUCCAACGGCCGAAAAUCUAAUAGCACAAAUUACUUGGUGCUAUUGAUAGUAUUCCAGCCUAGUUCACAUAUAUAUAUAGUUGAGCUAGAAUACUAUCGGUAGUAAACGAGCCGUUUUACUACCGAUUUGUUUUCGGUGAUAGAACUUCCAAAUUGACGAUCGGCUCUGUUGAACAUGAUCUAUACCACUUGAAGUGUUUAGAAAUCAAAUUUCAAAUCUUUUCGACAUCAUUUGCCUAAUGAUCAAAGGGUUUCAAAAUUUGUAAUUUUAAUGGUUGAUCAGAGGCGUUUUCUCGUUUAACGGCAUAAAGAUAUCCAAAUCAAUUGCUACUAUACUAUUAUGAGUACGAUCGCCCUCGUACUCAUAAGUUGUUUUCGAUAAUAGAGCUUCCGAAUCGACGAUCCACACCGUUAAAUGUUAUCUAGAGCAUUUGAAACAUCUAGAAAUCAAAUUUCAUAAUUUUUCAACAUCAUUUACCUUACAAUCAAAAGGUCACAAAAUUGACAAUUUUUAACGGCCGGCAUAGGAUACUUGCUAGUUUAACGGUGUAAAAGAAUCGAAAUGAGAGAGAUAUCUAUCUUACGAGGGAAAGGAUCCGUUAUAAUAUAAUUAAACAGUUUAGAAUCAAAGAUAUUGAAUCUGUUCUUAAUAUAGUAUAAAAAAUUUUCUAUCCAUAAAUUUUAGGUGUUGAUAUUUAUACAUCGUUAAAGCUUGCAAACGCCCGCCUGAUCAAGGCCCAUACGUCGCCAUUCUAAAGUAUAUCUGAUUUGUGAGCCCUCCCCUUCGAUCACUAGGCUAAAAUGAUUACAUGAAAACUCAUAAUAAUCAUAUAAAAAUCUUAGGUAAUCUUCAAAAACCCCUGUGUUUCACAACUUUUCAUUUAUGAGUACGGCCUGGGUUUAAAGUGUAUCAAGUUGAUAUACCCUGUGUUUUCUCACUUAUAUCACUUUAGUAUCCUUGUUUAAAAAAAAAAAGGGUUUCCUUCUUUGUGGGUUACAUCAAGUUAAGUAACCAUGUGGUUUUUGCACUUUAAUCAUUAUUAGUACCCUGUGUUUCACAUUUAGUCAACUUUAGUACUCCGCUGAUGAGUAUUUUAACACAAAACCACUAAGGGUUUACCCCUAGAAGAUAUUUAGGACGGGAACUCUUUGAAUAACACAAAUUAAAUACCGCAAGGCUACUAAGUGAUAAAGUGCAAAACCAGGUGUACUGUAACUUGAUAAUACGUUAAACAAAGGAUUAUGAAAUAGAAAAAGUAGAAAUUCCAACAAGGGUACUACUUGAAUACAUUUAGAGAUGCCCACCAGAAACAGGGUAUUAAAAGUGAAAAAAAUUGAAACCACAGGGGAAGUUUUUUGAGUUUCGCUAAAAAUUUCUAUUUCUAAAACGCGUUACUUCAAAUAUCUAUAUCAAGUUUAACAGAGCUCGAAUCGACGAUUGAAAGCGCUAUUAAUCGGACGAAAACGACCUAGAAGCACGGAGGCUCGCGUGCUUCCAAGAAGCAAAUUAGUAGUUAGCGCAUCACUGCAUAUAUAUAGUUAAUAUAUAAUAGAACUAGCUACUAUGGCUUAUACACAGAAGUCCAUUGUAGCGCUCUGACAAUUUUGGCCAUUGGAACUGAUAGAAAUGUGGGCGUUUAGGAUAUGUGGGCGCUCUUCUCAAGGUUGAGUGGAUUGUUUGUUGAAUAGUAAUGAUCUAAACGCUGAAAAUGACUCAAAGGUGUAGAUCUAACGGCGAAAACUUGUAGCACCUAAGUAAUAUUUGUGCUAUUAAUAGAUUAGUAGCUGAACUCAUAUUAAAUAUAUUAAAAUAUAAUAUAAUAUAUUAUUAUAUAUAUAUAUAUAUAUAGAACCCACAAGGUAGGACAGAACGAGAGAAGAGAAGGAGAGAGAUGAAGAGAGCGAAGAGAAGAGAGAGGCUACUAUUGAUUCUGGGAACACCGACGAAGCCUUUCCGUGCUUCAGCUGAUGUCUAACCGUCCUCCGUUUCUAUGUUGUGCGGACUAUCGAAUUAUCAGAUCGGCCUACCCUAUAACUUGAUCUAGAGUAUUGUAAAGUACCUAGAUAAAUAGAAAUUAACAGAUUUUUUUUAGCGAUAUAUGUGCCUAGUGAAAGCGGGGCUAAAACAGCCGCUGAAAAUAAAAUCUUACAAAAGGUUAUAAUAAUGAACAUUAAUAUAUUUUAUGAUCACAGUGAUAUUAUCUUGUUUUAUUUAAUAGUCACACGAAUUUCUAUCAAAAUUUCACGUGAUUUGAUAUCUUUUACAUGCGUAUUAGACAACUUCAUAAGAGAAAACAGUGGGGUGCGGAGCUGCACAUCUAUCCUCAUUAAAAAAUUAUUUAAUUUUUCAGAGCUCCUGCGAUUCGACUAGGUAAAUAAUUAUUACAAAAUCAAAAAUUUAUUUUCCUAGAUACUUCAAAUACUCUAACAAAGGUUUAACAGGGCCGAUUCACGUCGAAUCAACAGUCGAAAAACCUGGAGCAGAAGGCUCCUGCGCUCCAAAGCAUAGUAGCCAAAAUAUUAAUACUCAUAUAAUUCUAUAUAUACUAUAUAUAUAUAUAAUAUAUAUUAUAUAUUAUAUUAUAUAGGAGUAAGGCUAUAAUAGUCCUAUGAUAUAGAGCCUUCCAAUACUUAUAAUAUUUUUCGAUGUGGAUUUUCGAAUUGACGAUCGCAACGUUAAAUAGAUUUAGAGUAUUGGAAACCUUUUAAAAAAAUAAAUUUCCGUAAUUUUUCGAAAUCAUUAUAAAGUCCAUCAAGCGCUUAUACAAUGAAACGGUUAAAAUCUAACGGGACAAAUCGCUAAAAAAGGAUGAUCAAUUCUUCAUCUAACAUUCGAUGUUGAUCUUUAUAUAGGUAAUGGAUAAGAAUUUCUCUGAAUUAAGAAUUCAACCGUAUUGCGAUACCAUCUUUUCACCAACGUUAAAUCUAGUAAAUAUUCAUACGCGUCCGUUAAAAUUGUCAUUUUGUGAGCUUUUCGAUCGUAGGAAAAUGAUAUCGAACAAUUAUAAAAUUGAUUCUAGAAAUUCAAAAUGCUCUAGAUAAUAUUCUAACGCGUACGUGAUUGUCCGAUUCUGUGAAAGGCUCUAUCAUCAAAAAACAACUUAUGAGUACGAAGGCCGUAUCGUACUCAUAAGAAUAUAUGUAAGGCUGCGGGGCAGGAGGAUUCAUGGUAGUAGUAUAGCUUAUAGGAGGGGGUAGAGAGAAGAGAGAGUGGACCAGAAUACUCUCAAAGCACCCAGGGUGGUGUUUUUUGAAUUUCUAACCAUUUGAUGAGAGAUGAAGGGUUGAGUAUAAUAGUGGUUAGUUGUAAGUGUGGUUCGAUGGCAUAGAUGUUUUUUGAUCAAAGGAGUAUUCCUAAUUAAGGAUAGUAGAUCGAAGGGCUAAGAAACUUAGAAGCAGCCCAAGGUUGGUGCUAUCUAAUUUAUUCUACUCAACCUGCUCUCUCUCUCUCUCAUGCUCUCUUCUCUCUCUCAUCUAUAUAUAUUAUAUAUAUAAGUGUAUGGCUACUAUACUAUUAUGAGUAUUAGGCCUUCGUACUAAUAAGUUUUGUUUUACGAUGAUGUGAGCUUCUCGAAUCGACGAUCUCACAGGUGUUAAACUAAUAUGAUAGAGGAUAUUUUUUAAACUUCUAAAAAUAAAUUUCGUAUUGUUCGAAUGCAUAAUAAAAUCCCAUCAGCAUGCAUAAAAUAAAACAUUCAAAAUCGAACGAUUAUUUUAAAAAAUAGAGUUCGCAUCUAAUACAAUUUAUCAAAAAUCGAGUAUGAUCUUUAUCUAGAUAGUGAAUAGAAAUUUCUAAUCAAAAAUUCAACCUAAUUCGAUCCUUUGCGNNNNNNNNNNNNNNNNNNNNNNNNNUAUAUUUGUAGCAACACUUUUUAAAGUGUCGGUAAUUUUAGUGCAGCACUUUUUGAUAUGUAACCUAAUUUUUUAAAAGUGUUCGCUAAUAGACAGUAUUUUUUUGUGUCUAUUCACUAAUCCACUGAUUGUUUAGACGAAGAGCUUUCUGUCGUCCUCAUCGCACCGCAGCACGCAGAUAGGAGUUUCGGCGUUGCUAAUGUUUAAAUAAGUGUGGUAAAUUAGCGCACUCUUUUAGGUUAUGUGAACUCUUUAACUGGAAUAUAUACUAGUCGGACCCACAUUAUAUUGUGCAACACUUUUUAAAAGUCGCGGGUUAAUUUUAGCUAGCAUGCGCUUUUUUUGAAUGUUAUACAUUUAAAAGUGUCGCCUAUAGACCGUUUUUGUGUGAGUGAGGUGCAUAAUGUUGAUCAAGGGUAUUAUAAUUAAGGACGUAGAUCGAAGGGCUAGAAAUUAAAGCACAACGGGGUUGGUGCUUCUAAAAGUAUUUCUAGCUCAACUUCUCGAUCUCUCUCUCUCUCUCUCUCCUUCUCUUCGUUCCUAUAUACUAUAUAUAUAUAUAUAUAUAUUAGUAUGGCUACUAUACUAUUAUCGUAUUCGGCACUUCUACUCAUAGUUGUUUUAGAUGUGGAGCUUCGAAGGCGCGAUCCAUCGUUAAAUAUGAUAUAGAUAUUUACUUUUAGAAAAUAAAAUUUGUAAAUAAUAUAAAUCCAUUAAGCAGGAUAAAUAAAAGUCAAAUGAACGAUGUUUUAAUAUAGUUAUGAUCGCAUCCUCCAUUUAAGAUCGGAUGUAUAUGAUCUUAUCUGAUAGGAAUGUUUAGAAUUUUCUAUCAAAAUUCAACUAUUCGGAUUCUUUUGCACCGUUAAACUAGCAAUUAUUUCAUAUCGGCCUGUUUAAAAUGUCAAUUUUGUGACUUUAGAUUGAGGUAAUGAUGUCGAAAAUAUGAAAUUUGAUUUCUAGAUGUUUCAAAUGCUAAGAUAACAUUUUAAUGGUGUGGAUCGUCGAUUCGAAGCUUAUUAUCGAAAACAACUUAAUGAGUACGGAGGCGAUCGUACUCACAAUAGUUAUGUAAGAAAUUUGAUUGGAGUUCUUUAUGCCGUUAAACGAGAACGCUCUAUAUCAACAUUAAAAUUACACAUUUUGGGAAACCCGUGAUCUUAAGGCACAAAUGAUGUCGAUAAAGAUUGAAAUUUGAUUUCUAAACACUUAAGUGGUAUAGAUCAUGUUCAACGGAGCCGAUACGUCAUUUUGGAAGUUCUAUCAUCGGAAACAAACUGUAGUAACGGCUCGUUCUACGAUUUUUCUUAGCUAACUCUCUCUUUCUCUCUUCUCUCUCGUCUAUCUCUCUCUCUUAACAUUAUUAAAUAUAUGUGUAUAUAUAUAUAUAUAUUGUGUGUUAUAUAUAUAUUAUAUGUGUAUAUGAAAUUUAAUAUAAAAAUAUUAUGGGUGUUAAUUAUAUAUAUAUGUGUAUAUAUAUUAUAUCAUAUAUGGAACUAGGCUUGGAAUACUAUCAAUAGCACCAAGUAAUUUGUGUAUUAGAUUUGUUCGUCCGUUGGAUUGGAAAGUUGCGUUGGAUGAUGUGAAGUCCUAGGUUGAGUGGCUAUGGUUGGUUUGAAUAGAUAUAUCUAACGGAUAAAAAUAUCAAAGGGUUAAUCUAACGGCAGAAAACUUGACUAGUACAUGCUUCUGCUUAAUGACGCAUAGCGAAGCGGACUAUAUAUAUAUGAGCAGGGCUGUUUCGUGCUUCAGGAGCACGGAACGGCUCCGAUGCUCCUGAGUUGUUUGUUCGAUGAUGAAAUUUUUGGAAUCGACGUUGGCUCGUUAGCUUGAAUCUUAGCGCAUUUGAAGUUCCUAGAACAAUGAUUUUUAUGAUUUUUUGAUAUAUUUUAAUAGUGGUUGAAAGGAUUCAAUCCAUAUUUUAAUUUGGUUAGAUAUCUGCCGUUUUCAAGUUUAAGGUCUUAGAAUUAUUCAAAAUCAGAUGAAAUUUUGGAUGCAAAUUCUUUAUACUAUCUAUAACAAGAUCAAUAUUUUGAUCGAAAUUUUUGUGCUAUAUCACACUUUUAUAGGAAUUUUUAUUUACAGCCUGUUAAAAGUUAUUGAUUUUGAAUCAUUUCGCAUUGCCAAGAAAUAAUAUCGAAGAUAAAUCGGCAAAUUAUUUUCUAGGAAACUUCAAAUAAUGCGUAGAUCAAGUUAACGGAAAUGAUCGUCGAUUCGAAAACGUUAUCAUCGAAACGGGCAGGAUCACGAAGGCCUUAUGUGCUCCCUCUAGAGCCCAGCAGCCCUUUAUAUAUUAUAUUAUAUAUAUAUAUAAUAUAUAUAUAUAUUGAGCUAGAAUACUUUUAAGAUGGUGCUUCUUAAAGUUUUAGCUCUUGAUUACUCCUUGCAUUACUAAUACUCUUAGAUCAACACUAUAUUCACCUUACCACUAUUUAUCUACCUACCAUCUCUCCAUCCAAUGGUAAAAAACUCAAAUGAGCACACCCCUUGGUAUUUUGAGGUAUUCUGCUCAAUAUAUAUAUAUAUAUAUAUAUAUAUAUAAUAUAUAUAUCAUAUAUUAUUAAUAUUAUAUAUAUAUACUAUAUAUAUAUAUAUCUUUUGGUGUUCUUAGUUUAUAGCCGUUGGAUCUACUUCUUGAUUAUAAUACUUUUAGAUGCAAGCACUAUUCGCCUUAACACACCUUAUCACUAUCAUUCAACCCUCUGCCUUAUCAAUUGGCUAAAAAUCAAGCACAUUUCUUGGGGCUUUUGGAAGUAUUCUAGCCUUCAAAUCAUAUCUCUCUCUUCUCUCUCUAUAUAAGUAUAUAUAUAUAUUAUAUAUAUUAGAGAGUUUGAGCUAGAAUACUUUCGUAGUAAACGAGCAUUUUAUCCGAUUGUUUUCGAUGAUAGAGCUUCCAAAUUGCACGAAUCCAGUCUUUAAAUAUAUCUAAACCAUUUAACUACCUAGAAUCAUAUUUCACGCAUUUCGUAUUUUCUUUUAGUCCAUCAAAGUGCAACAGAAAAAUGAAUGGUUGAAAAUGGAAUACGCUUUAAAAAUGAUUAGAUCUUGAAUCAAGUAUCAGAGUAUAGAUCUUGUUUUAAUAGUUUAAAGAUUUUUAACAAAAAUUCAAUUGAUUUGGUAUCGUUUUUACGCGUUUAACGAGAAAAGUCUCUUAUGACCAUUAAAAUUCAAAUUUGAACCCUUUGAUUAUUAGCAAUGGAUGUCGAAAAAGAUUUGAAAUUGAUUCUAAGACACUUAAGUGCGUAUAGUCGUAUGUUAACGGGACGAAAUCAUUUGGAAGUCUCUAUCAUCGAAAAACAAUCGGUAGUAAACGGCGCUCGUUUAUACGAUAGUAUUCUUAGAUAAUUAUAGUAUAUUAUAUUAUAUAAUAUAUAUAUAUAUACUAGAGUGGGCUGGGUGGCUUAUGGGCCGGAGCAUCCGUGCUUCAGUUCGUUUUCGUAUGUUCGCGACUUUCGAAUCGACAUCGGCUCAUUAGAGUUGAUCUAGGAGUAUUUGAAGUUACUAACAUAAGUUUGUGAUUUUUGAUAUCAUUUGCCUAAGAUGAUUUGAAGGGCUCAAAAUCAAGAAUUUUUAUAUGGCGCGUGGUUAGCCGUUUGCAAAUUUAACUGGGUGUGGAAAUAUCGAAAUCACAUGAAUUUUUGAUUAGAAAAUUUGUAUUCAUAUAAAUAAGAAUCAAUAAGAUUUGAUGCUAAAUUUUAAUGUCAUUCAUCAAUAUUUUGUAAGAUUUUCUUUUCAGCGUUGAUUUUGAGCCAUUCGAUCAUUAGAAAUGAUAUCAAAAAUCGCAAAUUUAAUUUUCUAGUACUUCAAUAUCUAGAUCAAGUCUGUUAACGGAAGCGACGUCAAUUCGAAGUCCGUAAACAUUGAAAAAACUUGAAGACGAGGCUCCGUGCUUCUAAGUCAGCGAAGCCAUACAGGCACAACUCUAUAAUAAUAUAUAUAUAUAUUAAUAUUAUAUAUAUUAUAUUAAUAUAUUAUAUAUAUAUAUAUAUAUAUUAUAUAUAUGAGUGAGCACUAUCUAUCGGAGUACGGACCUUCCGUGCUUCCACUCGUUUUCGAUGUUUGCGACUUUCGAAAUCGAUCGACCUCCGUUAAAUUGAUCUAGAGUAUUUGAAUAACUUAGGAAAUAAAUUUUUUAUUUUUUGAUAAUCGUUGCUAGUAGAUCGACAUGGUCAAAAUUCACGGCGGAAAUAAAAUCGGGUUACAAAUGUGGAUAAGUAUACAUUAAAUUUUAAAUCAAAGAUAUAUUUAUUUAUAUAAGUGUAAAGAAUUUUCUUAUCAAAAUUUACGUGAUUUGGAUAUUUAACACCGCUUAAACUUUGCAAACGCUCACUCGGACAUUAAUUGUUUGUUUUGAAGCCUAUUCGAUCACUAGGAAAAUGAUAUCGAAAAUAACUGAAAUUUUUUCUAGGUACGUUCAAUAUUUGAUUCAAUUUUUUACGGACGGAAGCGAUCGCGAUUCGAAAGUCGCAACAUCGAGAACGAGUGAAGCACGGAAGGCUCAGUGUUCAUAGCAUAACAGUAGCUACACUCUAUGUAUAUAUAUAAUAUAUAUAUUUAAUAUAUAUAUAUAAUAUAUAUAUAGAUAGGGUUUAAGAUAACUUUCAGUACACACUAAGUGAGAUAUAAUAUGUUUUCUAGCUUUGGAUGAGAUAGAUGGAGGUUGAGAUGAUGGGGUACGGUUGGUGUAGAGUGGUGUAGUGGAUAGGGGAUGGUGUUUGAUCAAGGAUAUUUGUAAUCAAAAAGUAGAUCCAAUGAAGACUAAAAGGUAUAGCAAUUGAAGGAUGAUACUUGUAAAAAGUAUCCUAGAUCAACUCUAACAAAAACUAUAUAAAUAUAAAUAAUUAAUAUAUAUAGAAGUGAGGAAUAAAUGCAUUCGGAAAGCACGGGAGCCUUCCGUGCUUCAAAACUCCAGUUUUUGAAUUUGCGAUUUUGAGAUGUCGAUCAGGCACUACGUUAAACUUGAAUCUAGAGUUAUCUUGGAGUAGUACCUUAGAAAAGUAAAAUUUUAUUAUUUUUCGGAUAUCAAUAUUGCUAGUGAUCGAAUGCUCAAAUAUCAAACAAAUUUCAAUGGCCAAAGUAGUGAAUGCGAAGUUUGACAAUAUACGGAAUUGAAUAGAAAUAUCACAAUCAGUGAAUUUUGAACUAGAAAAUUCUAUGGUAUACUAUAAUAAAACAAGUUAAUACUUUGUUAAAAUUUAAUGUAUAUUAAUGAUACAUUUUGCUAGCAUAUUUUAUUUUCAAGCAGUUGUUUUAGAGACCCUCGUACACAUAGGCAAAAUGAUAUCGAUAAAAUCAUAAAUUAGUUUUGAGCUACUCCCAAUUACUGUAGUAAAGUUUAACAGGCAAAGAAGAAAAAAAAAUAAAACCAAACAACGAUCACGAUUCGAAUACGAUACAUCGAAAACAGAAAGUGGAAGCACGGUGAAGAGUCUCGUGCUUCCGAUAGCAUAGUAGCUCAUCCUAUAUAUAAAAUAAAAUAAUAAUAUAAAAUAAUAUAAUAUAUAUAUAUAAUUAUUAUAUUACAUAUAUAUAUAUGAAGUGUGUUUCUGUCAUUACAAGUUAGAGUCAAAUAUCAACGAUGUUGUUGUGAACUUUAAAGGGCACGUCAUAGACCCUAUCAUCAAGCGAAAAGGCAAACCUACAUAACUAGCAUUAGAUAUAACUAGGGGUGAAGCUUUAUCAACAAAAUAUUAAAGCCACAGUGAAGAUAUAAAUUAUCCGUAUAUGCUUAAAUCAUAAAAAUAUAAAAUAAAACUGCCGAACCUUCCAGAAACUUCUUUUUUCUUUUAUUAUAUUUUUGUUUGACUCUCUAGAAAUAUUUAAUGCAUGAUAUUGGUUAAAAAAUAAUAAAAUAUAGAUGGGAAUGUCCAAAAUCUGUGAAUUUAAAGCCAUUGUUUUUUUAAUUGAAUUAAAUUUUCAUGCAAGAGCGGCAAAUUAAAAACUAGCGAAUCACUAUCAUAUUUACUGAAUUAAUGCAGAAAAUUUUAUUUGUUGUUUCAUAUCAAUAUAUAGUAACAUAUGAUUUGUCUCGAAUUAAAAUUGAUUCACAACAGAGGAAAAAAAAAAUUAUCUAGACGAUAGAAAAAAAAAAAACUUAAAUGAAUGAAUUAUUCUCAUUUCUACUUCUUAUUUCACCUGUCAACAAUAUGACUUCAACAAAGUAUCGUAGAACACAACUAAAUAUUUCAUAAUGAAGUGUUUUACAUUAUACAAGUGACAAAAUCAUAUGAAUGGAAAAAAGGAUAAUUAAGUAUAAUAACAAGACAAUACUUAUAUAGGGAAUGUUAUAAAAGUGAUUAUAUGAUUGGACACACAUAGAAAAAUGAAAAAAUAGGAAUUUCGGUGUUUAAUGAAAUGUCAAAUGAGGAAUGACGAUCAUGCAAAAUAUUUGGUUCAAUUUUGAAUCGAAAUUGGGAUAGAAAAAUUUAAAAAUUGAGAGAGGUUUUUUAGAAAGAAAAAGUGAUGAGAUGAGCAGAGAUCGAGGUGGUUGAAAGAGAUUUUGAAUAGUUUAUUUUGGAAUCAGCCAUUCUGAGGAUUCAAAGUCGAUUGAAUUUAAAUGGAUUUGUUCAUUCCCAUUCCGGAUGAAAUGAGAAUGGCAAUCUUUUCUAUAAAACAAACGGAACUAUCGGAAUCAAUGAAAUUCCAUUCCAUUCAUAAGUCUAAAAUAGAUGAGCCAAACAUCGCUAAGAGCGAAUAUCUUCAAUACACAUAAGUAUUAAAGCAACUUUAAUUAGUAAUAAGGUAUAGUUGUUUUAAUAAGAUAAUAUUAAAAUGUUUAUCGAAUUGAAUUAGUUAAUAUGAUAAUUUUGAAAAAAAUUGAAGUAUUAUGCAAAUUUGUUGUCUAUAAUAUUAAAUAUUUUAUUUAUUUUAAUUACCAAAUUAGUGAAUACCCAUUGUUAUUACCAAUCUAAAGAAUUAAAUUAUAAAUUUAAUUUUUUGAAUUGUAUUGUAAUAUAAAUUGAAUUUCAAAUUAUAUUAAAAUUUUUUAAUUUGAUCUAUGAUCUGUAGUUUUAAUCUGAAGUUCAAAUUUUUCAAUUUUGAUUAAAUUUAAAAUUAUUGAAAUUUGAACUGGAAAGUAAUUUAUUUUUAAUUUGUUUUAUAUUUAAAUUGAUUUGAUUUAUAAUUAGUUUUUUAUUAGUUGUCGAUUUAAAUUACGUUUAGUUGUAUUUCGAAUUCAACUAUGUUGUAUGUGAGGUAUUGAGAAAAGUUUAUGCUAUUUUAGGUGGAGAUAAAACGGUUUUGUAGACUAAAAAUUUUUUAAGGCCAAACAUAUGAUUGAAUGUAAAGUGUUUGAAAUAGUAGUCUCUUUGAUCUAUUACAUUUAACAUCUAUUUAAAAAAAAAUAGGUGUAAGUUUACGUGAUGUAUGAAGUGAUACUCUAAUUUAUAUAAUUAGACUUAUCUUAGACGAUAGGCAAUUAUUAUUUUUAGCUCAAUUAUUAUUUCUUUUCAUUUUUGAGAUGGGAUUAAGAUUUAUUCGAGGAGUAUUAAUAUUACUUAAAAAAAAUAAAAAAAAUCAAUUAACACUUGUGUACUAAAUCCAAAAGGGAGUAUUAUAUACUAUUCGAUAGCACAAUGCCUUCGUGGUUAUUGUAUUUCUGCGAUUUUAUAUAUAUAUAUCAUAGCGGAGGGAGAAGGAGAAGAGAGAGAGACUAGGUGUGGUACUAUCGGUUAGCACGGGCCUCCGUGCUACAUAAGUUGUUUUAAUAAUGGUCCAACGACGAGCGAGUAUUCACAGCACUUGAUCUAUAUAUAUUUAAAGUAUUUGAAAAUUAAUUUCGGUAAUUUUUUGGCAUCGUUUGGCUAGUAUCAAAAGGUCUCAAAAUGACAUUUUAAUGAUUGCAGUGCGUUACGUUUGUAAUUUAACAGAUGUAAAACAAUUCAAAUCGAUGAAAUUUUAUUUUAAAAAUUUCUUUUCAUAUUUUUAGAGUAAGAUUAUUCCUCUAAUCUUAAAUUCGAAGUUUUUUAUAGUAUUUAUUCUUUAGACUCUCUCUUGGAGUCGCUAGGUAUAUAGUGACAGUUAAAGAGUGUCGCUAUAACCUAAAAGAGUGCUGCUAAUUUACCAAAACUUAUUUAAGCAUUUAGCAACCGUCGAAAUUCUAUCUCGUUGGCUGCGGUGGCGGAGGAGGACGACAGAAAAGGCUCUUCGUCUAGAAUUUCAGUGGAUUGACUGAAGAGAGAAGAAAAGAUGGUAAUUAAUUUUUCUUUCUUUUUUUUCUUUUCUGUUUGUAAUCGGGCCAAAUGGACUGGCUGUGGUAAGUUGAGUAAAGUAAUCUUUUAUUUUUGGUUGGAUUGGGCUUUAUAUUUAGACAUUAGUAGAUGUUUUUUUUAAAUUUUAGUAUAAAUGGGACACUUACUCAAAAAUGUCCCAAACAUGUGUCCCUAUAACCUAAUUCUGUUGUAGUGAGAGAAGAAAAGAUGGUAAUUGAUUUUUCUUUUUUUUUUUUCUUUUCUGUUUGUAAUCGGGUCAAAUGGACUGGGUGUGGUGGGUUGAGUAGAGUAAUCUUUUAUUUUUGGUUGGAUUGGGCUUUAUAUUUAGGCAUAAGUAUAUAUUUUUUUAAGUUUUAGCAUAAAUGGGACACUUACUCAAAAGUGUCCCAAACAUGUGUCCCUGUAACCUAAUUCUGUUGUAGUGCUACCACCACCUACCACCACCUACCACUAUUAUCUCAACCCUACAUCUCUCCAUCUAAUGGUUAAAAAUUCAAAAACACCACCCCCUUGGUGCUUUUGAGAGUAUUCUGGUUCAACUCUCUCUCUCUCUCUCUAUAUAUAUACAUGAAUCCGGCUACUAUACUCUUAUGAGUACGAUCGCCUUCAUACUCAUAGGUUGUUUUUGAUGAUAGAGCUUCCAAAUCGACGAUCCAUAUCGUUAAACAUUAUCUAGAGCAUUUAAAACUUCUAGAAAUCAAAUUUUAAAAUUGUUCGAUAUCAUUUUCCCUACGAUCAAAAGCUCACAAAAUUGACAAUUUUUAACGAUCGGUAUGAGAUAUUUACUAGUUUAACGGUGAAAAAGAAUCGGAAUAGGUUGAAUUUUUAAUGAAAAAUUCUAUUCACUACCUAAAUAAAUAUCAAUCACUCCGAUCUUAGAUUGAAGAAUCUGAUCAUCUAUUUUUACGAUGUCGUUAGAUUUUAACCGUUCAUUUUAUACCUGCUUGAUGGACUUUAAAAUGAUUUCGAAAAAUUAGAAAAUUUAUUUUUUAAAAGUUUCAAAUACUCUAAAUCAUAUUUAACGGUGUGGAUCGUUAAUUCGAAAAUCCCAACAUCGAAAACAAUUUAUAAGUAUGAAAGGCUCUAUACUCAUAGGACUAUAGUAGCCUUACUCUAUAUAUAUAUAUAUAUAUAUAUAUAUAUAUAUAUAUAUAUAUAUAUAUAUAUAUAUAUAUAUAUAUGAGUGAUGCUACUAUGCUUUUGGAAGCGCGAAGCCUUCUGUGCUUCCAGGUCAUUUUCAAUGUUGCGACUUUCGAAUCGUCGAUCGGCUCCGUUAAACUUGAUCUAGAGUAUUUGAAGUAUCUAGAAAAUAAUUUUUAUGAUUUUUAGAUAUCAUUGACCUAGUGAUCGAAGGGCUCAAAAUUAAUAAUUUUAAUGGCCGUAGUGAGCCGUUUGCAAGUUUAACGAUGUAAAAAUAUCCAAAUCAUGUGAAAUUUUGAUAGAAAAUUCUUUAUACUAUAUAAAACAAGAUCAAUAUCAUUAAUCUAAAAUUUUAAUGUCAUAUUAUCACGUUUUGUAAGAUUUUUAUUUUCAGCCGUUGAUUUUGAGCCCCUUUGUUCACUAGGCACAUAAUAUCGAAAAAUCGCUUAAUUUAUUUUCUAGGUAUUUCAAAUACUCUAGAUCAAGUUUAACGGAGCCGAUUGACGAUUCAAAAGUCGCAACAUAGAAAACGAGCUGGAAGCACGGAAGGCUCCGUGUUUCCAGAAGUAUAGUAGCCUCUCUCUCUCUCUCUCUCUUUGUAUAUAUAUAUGCUCUUGUGCUUUCAAAAGCACGGAGGCCUCUAUACUUGUAAGUUAUUUUCAAUAAUAGAAAAUCUAAUUCGACGAUCGGCUCUGUUAGACAUGAUCUACGUUAUUAGAACCAUUUAAAAACCAAAUUUUAUAAUUUUUUGACUUCAUUUACCUAGUGAUCGACUAGUCUCAAAAUAAACAAUUGAAAAUAAAAAUCUCAUAAAAAAUAGUGAUAAAAGACUCGAAUUGCAAAUUAAACGUAUUGUUCACGAUGUUAAGUAGAAUUUUUAUUAAAGUUUAAUAUAAUUUGAAUUCUUCUACGCCAUUGAACUUACAAAUAUACCAUAUUGACUGUUAAAAUAGUCAUUUUUUAGACCCAUUCAUCACUUGAUAAAUAAUAUCAAAAAAUUAUGAAAUUUGAUUUUUAAAUAGUUCUAAAAGGUAGAUUAUGCUUUACGGAUCCAAUCGUCGAAUUAGACGUCUCAUCAUGGAAAAUAACUUACAAGUACGAAAGCCUCCAUACUUUCAAAAGCGCAGGAAAUGUACUCUUAGACACGGAGGCCUCCGUAUUUUCGAAAGCGCAAGAAACGUACUCUGNACCAUUAAAAUUAUAAAUUUUGAAACCCUUUGAUCAUUAGGUCAAUGAUGUCGAAAUGAUUUAAAAUUUGGUUUCUAUAUAUUUCAAGUGGUAUAGAUCAUGUUCAACAGCGUCGAUCGUCAAUUUAAAGACUCCAUCAUCGAAAACAAAUGGGUGGCAACGAAGCUAGUUUACUACCAAUAGCAUUCCAGCUCAACUAUAUAUAUAUAUAUAUAUAUAUAUAUAUAUAUAUAUAUAUAUAUAUAUAUAUAUAUAUAUAUAUAUAUAUAUAUACACUUCAAAAGCAAUAAUUAUUUUGUAAUCUGACCUGGGUAAAUAUGUAUGCCUGACGGUCCAGCAUGGCACGGCCCAUUAUUAUCUCUGGCUAUGCGAGCCACUAAUAUAAUAUGGUUCGAUGUCAUUUUUAUUAUUAUUAUUUUCUUGUAUUUUCUUAAAAAAUUGCUUUACCUUAUAAUAAAGUAAUCUAAAUUAGUAUUAAAAUGUCAAAUAAUGAUCAUACAGCUAUAAUCAGUUUACUAAAUAUAUAAUAAUGUCUAUAUUUUUUAAAACUCAUGCUACGGGAAUUUUAGAAAUGGGAUUAUAAAAUUAAUAAAUAAAUAUAGCUUGGCCCCCCACGCAAGGUACGGAUCAUAUUGUACCCUUCCUCCAUGUGCAACGACUUUUAAUGAAGUAAAAAAAAAAAAGAAAAUGAAAAAGAAAAAACAUCUCUAAUUUUUUGUUCGCCAAUAUUUUAGUGAGAAACAGGGCGUACGUACACGCGCGGCACACAUUUAAGGAUGGAUUUAAUAGAAAAUUAUGGUACAAAACUAAAAGAAAAAAAAAUUAUGAAGUUUUGUUUGAAUGUCGAAAUAAAUAUUUAAUGAUAAUUUUUUAUAUAGUAGAAAGAGAUUUCUUUUGUGUGUUGGAAAGUUACAAUCCAUUUUGCAUUUUAUUUUUUGAAAGUUCUUGAAAUGUAUAAUUUACUAGAAUAAUAUAUUUUAUCUAUCGAAUAAUUUACUUUAUUUUUAAAAAUAAUUUAAAAAUUAAAUAAAAUAUACGAUUAUAGAUAUAAAAAAUCAUAUUUUUUUAAAGUAAAUCAAAAGAAUUAUUGAAUUUAUAAAAUAUUUAUUCAUCCAAAUAAAGCUUAAAGAGUGGGCGGUUAUAAGUCAACACCUUGUUAAAAAGCCAUCGAUUUAUUAAACAUUAAUUUUAUUUUUUAUCUAAAGAUUAGAUUAAAUUUUUUUUUUUUAUAUUUUAGUAUUCAAAAACACUUUUAAUGAAUCUUAAAAUAGAGGUAAAAUUUAUACAUGGCAUCAUAGGGAGAUCCCUGUUCAAGUUUUGUCCGUACGUAACGUAUCUGCAUACGCAAAAUAAUAAUUUAUUAAAGUUCACGGGUGACGUGGUGAACGCGGUCCACGAAACAGUAGACCGAUCGAUACCCCACGUGGGAGGCGCACUUUGGCUGAAUCCUAUCCGGUGGGUCCCACUACUACUAAGGCUCGGAUUGGUUCGUAGAAAACGCGCGCGCACGACUUCCAAAGCAGAGGUCUCCUUUUCUUUCCCUAUUAAAACAAGGUUACUAUCACGAAGGAAACGUACGUAGGCCCCCCCCAUGCAUUUUCCCUCUUAUGGAAACCCCAACGAUGCUUCUUUUUAUAUAAAAAAACAAUAUUAAUUUGUCUCUUUAUUUAGUUGUUUAUUAUUUUAUGUUAUUUUAUUUUAUUUUAUUUUUGGUUAUGGUCCUGAAAAAGUCCUCAGACCUUGACCACUGCUAACCAUAUGUACAUGUUGGAAUAUAUAUAUAUACAUGGUAAUUGGGAGUACAAUUAUUGCAUGAUAGAAUACAUAUAUACAAAAGGUUUAUUCUAAAAUAAAAUAAUUCAAGGUAAAAUGUAUGAAAAUAAUAUUCAAAUAUGGUGAUUUGAUUCCUAUAUUCUUUACUUGGGUAUUAUACAAAAUUAUAGAUAAGUUUUACUUGUGAGUAAUUUGCUCAAACUUUGAAUUCGUUGGUCUCUGCAUCGUUUCGCACACGAGUUAUUUUUUUAAACAUGACAAUCUAUGUGCAUGUUUCUGUAUAUUUUUAUCUAUUAGUAAAAGCAACUAGAAUGGAAGACAUGUGCUUCCAAUUUUUUUCUUUUUUUUUUCCUAUCUUUUUGGUUUUCAGAAACUAUUUUAACAUACAAGAGUGUGCCUAUGAGUAGAGUAUAUUUUUUAUAGGCCUGGCACAAUUUUGAUACCAUGAGCAAGCAUGUCAAAUACAGUGUGUGGAUAUAAUUAAAAGCCUUAUAGAAAAGAAAACUCCACAAAAAAAAAGGUCACCUAAUGCUUUUAAGAUGCUCUAAAUUAAUUAAUUAUAGAGAUCUGAGCAAGUAAAACCAUAAAUUAAAUCAGUAGAGUUUUUUAAAGAAAUUUACAAUCUAAUUUUUUUUUGAAAUAAACUUUACAAUAAAAAUUGUCUUGAAAUCAACAAUUUUGAAAGUUUAAAAUGGACCAACUAACCUGGAUUUCCAUUGCAAAAAUAUAUUUAUAUAUUUAGAUCAAUAUUUUAAUUAGAAGUGUAUUAUAUCCAAAAUUAUAUAUGAUCUAUAUAUAUUCUCCAAAUGGAGAUGGUUUUGUACUUAAUAACUACAUUAAAAAUCAUAAAUGCUGGGGAAUGGCUCCUUGUUGGGGUGGGAAAUAAGGUUGAUAAAAGGUUGGUUAUGUUCUCUGCAUAUAGUACCAAGUGGCGCUUAUUGUUUCACAUCAUAUUACUCUAUUAUUGCCCACGUUCAGAGAACCAAAUUAAGUGCUUAUUCUGCUGGGAAUAGGGACUGCUGUUGCAUUUGCGGGUCAGAGGGAAUAAUUGGCCAAACAUAUGCAUCCACAUGUCACAAUAUAUAUAUAAAUAUAUAUAUAUAUAUAUAGAGAGAGAGAGAGAGAGAGUUAUGCUGAAAUACUAUUAAUAGUAUGAUAGUAUCCACUUUGUGAUCAUUGGAUGCCUAGGGUGUGAAACAACCGUUGUACUCUAAAAGCUUAAGCUGUUAAAGAACGGUAUUUAAACAUUUUUAUAUUUAACACUCCCCCUCACGUCUGGGCUCGAGACUUUUUUUUUGUCGGCCCAUGACGUGGGCUGAAUUAAAUGGGAGGAAAUUAAUAUACUAGGAGCCUGGCGUGACUCGAACUCAGGACUUCCUGCUCUGAUAUCAUGUGAAACAACCGUUGUACUCUAAAAGCUUAAGCUGUUAAAGAACGGUGUUUAAACAUAGGGCUGAGUAGAUGGUUUGUGUAAUAUAUAGUAAUGAUCCAAAGGAGGAAACAUGAAAGGUUUGUAUUAUUAAUAAUAUACCAGCUGAACUAUAUUUAUAUAUAAUAUAUAAUUAAGUUUCUAUGUUUUUAAAAGCACCAAAUUAUUGGUGCACAUAGGUUUUCGACCUUUGGAUAUGAAGAUUUGUCGGAUUAGGAUUAUUGCGGUUGAGUGAGUGGUUGAUUGAAUAGUAUAAUUUAACGGAUGGAAAUAGUCAAAGGGAUAGAUCUGACAACGGAAAACUUAUAAACAUUAAGUGAUUGAUGCUUUUGAAAACACCAUAGCCAGACUAUAUAUAUACAUAGAUGUUGUUUUCUAUAAUGUUUAGAUCACCUAAUAUUAUUUUAUUUUUGGCUAAAACACAUGAGAUAAUCCUUCCGAAUAUAAUACGAUUUACAUUUACUUCGACUUUUGCUGGUAUUAAAAACUUAUUAACAAUUUCUCUCAACCUUUUAUAGAUGUUGUUUUCGCUUAGGGCCCAUUUGAUAUUGAGGGGUAGUUAAUGCUAGAAGGCAAAACAAGUUGCGGCGAGUAUGUAGAAAUAUAUUUUUCUCUUUUGUAGUGAGACCGUGGAAAAUAUAUUUUAACCCUCUUUUUGAAUUCUAUUAUAGAACUAGGCUAAUAUACUAUUAAUAGCACCAAGUCAUUGGUGCUACCAAGUUUUUGGCCAUUGGAUUAAGAGAUGUGCGGUUAGGAUGAUGUGAGCCCCCAAGGGUUGAGUGGGUGGUUGGUUAAAUAGUAUGAUCUAACGGAUGAAAAUGAUCAAAAGGGUAGAUCUAACGGCAGAAAACUUGGUAGCACCAAGUGCUUCAUGCUAUUAAUAGCAUAGUAGCCGGACUCUUCUAUUAUAUAUCCAUAUGAAGUUAUAUUUUAAACUUUCCUUUUUCUAAAAAUAAAUGCCGAUCGAUAGGGAAGCCAUAGGAUAGCUGUCUAUUUGCUUCAUUAUUGUUUAUGGCUAGAAGUACCUCUUUAGUGACAUAGCUGAAAUAAGCUUUUGGCAUCUCAUAACUGAAGCUUAACUUAGUUUGAAUCUACCAUUUUUUCUAUAACAAGAAGCUGUUUAAAGAAUUUUAAUAUCUUGACUUGGUAAUGCUUAUCUUCUAAACAUCUCUAAUCGAAAUGAUCACACUUCUGUAGAAGCUUCAGCUUGACCAAACAGAUCUGUAAUGCUUAUAAUUAACUUGGCCUAAUAUUUUUGAACAUUUUUUCCACUCUAAAGUGCCUCAAUUAAUUAACCAUUCGACAAAAAAAAGAAGAAAAAUCUAAAAUUCAGUUGUGGCGAAAGGAUUGCUUAAUUUUUGUAAUUAUCCACAUUUGUUUGUUGUUAUGGUUUAAUUCCAUAAGGACCUAGCUACAUAUCAUAGAAUAGCUAGAUGUUCAAGUGGUGCAAUUUUAAACUCUAAGAGAAGGCAAAGUGGAAUUAUUCAAUACUGGCUAAGCGAUAAGUUGUUUCAUAAAUUUUUUAAUCAGCAAUUUGCAGGCUUUAAUAAUAAGGCUUAUGACUAUCACAUGCUAAUUAACCAUUAAAAAUGCUUAAGGUAAUAUGUUCUUUUGGAUUGAUCGGAGAAUUAAAAUAACAAAGAGAGGACAAAGAAAACGUGCUAUAUAUAACUUGGAAGAUAAAAAGUAAUUAACAAAAGUCCCCUCCCACCCAGGACAUUUAAUUUAAACUAUAGUAUCUGAUUUAUUCUGUAUACAUUGACAUUGAUCAUUUUUAUUGUUAUAUUUGAGUUAUCCAAAUUAGUUAAAUUAGAAUUAAGUUCUUAAAUUCACUAUUAGUUAACAUUUAGCUUCAAAGAAAUCAAAAGAGAGAUCAAUAAGAUUACAAAGUUGGGGGCCCUUUUAAUCUAGGGAUCGAUACUAUACAAAUUAACUUAUAAACAGUAAAGUUCAAUCAACGAACUAUUUUGAUUUUGAUCAUGACCAAUCGUUUGCCUUCUCUUUGCUUGAUCAUAAAACCGAAUGAUUGGAAAACAACAUACGCACUCUUUCUAUUCUAUUGAUGGCAAAAUAUAUAUGUAGCUUAUACGAUUAAUUGUUAGUGAUAUACCCUAAAGCCAAUCGGUGACACAGGCUUGUGAACAUAUUAAGUAUUUUUCUUAAUUAAUAAAUAGCAAGUUUUAUUCAUAUUUAUUGUUAGCAGUACAAUACAUAUAUAUGAAUCGUUCAUUGAAUCUUCGUUAAGAAAAUAUAUUCCUAAGAGUUAGGAAUUUGAGAUAUAUAUUUCUUUGUACAAGAUUCUUAAAUGUUCCUAGCCAUAGGAAUAUCAUAAGGACGAUGAUAUUUCCGGAUAGGCCGGUGUAAGCUGUACUUCUAAGUUGAGGUGACGAAUCUCAAGUCAUUAGUGUAGGGACACUAAAGUAAACAUGCAGGUGCUUGUUAGCGAACAAGUACACUGAGCAUGACCAUUUAAUUAGUUGAACAGUCACAUGGUUCUGAAUUCGCCAGUGACUAGUUCUUUGCUACAGUUGUGUGAAGUACUCCUUAGACCUGAGGCAUCAUAGUUGCUUCACAUGUAGAUUGCUACUGUUUAACUGUACUAAUACUUAGACUCUAAUCAUUGGUCUAUAUCUGGUACUGAUUGGUUGUAAUAGUUUAUAUGGGGAGGCAUGUGAAUGCGCAAUAAGGAAUUCAACACUCUCAAUAGUGAGAGAGAACGUCCCAUGUAGACUAUCGAACUUGACUCAAAAAAUCCUUGGCCAAGAUACGUGGUGUGUGGAAAGAGUUUCCAGUUGUGUUACCAUAUUGAGUUAGUUUUAGAUAUUCUAGUCAUAUGAUCGAAUAAUAAGAUUUGGCGAGUAACCAUAAUUUUAGUUCGAUCGGGACGUUGUGUGUUGGAAGGAAUUAAUCACACGGUAACGAUUAGCGGAAAGGUUCGUUUUUCAUCAUCAUUCUGGAUUGCGGUAAUAUAUUGCUAGGUGUCACUCGCGGACAGUGAGCAAAGUAAAAAUAAUUUAAAUAAAUUAUUUUAUAGAUUAGAAGAGUUCUAAUUCAAUAUUGAAGGGUUUGAUAUUGGACCUCAAUACCGAAUGAUAAUGAACCUAUGCGGUCACACACAAUAGGAAUUGUGUGCAUCCAACAUAAUAAGAUGAGUCUAAUACACUAAACAGUUUAGUGGAAAUAGUGAGAAUUAUAAUUUGAAUUUGAAUGUUGCGAAAGAUUUAAUCUCUAAUUAGAUUAGAGAAUAGUUAAAUAUUCAUAGAUUAUUAUGAGAUAAUAAUAUUCUAAUUAGAUUAGAUUUAAAUAUGAAUAUUUAAUUAUAAUUUAAUGGAUAAGAUCCAAUUAAAUUAAAGAGAGAGAUAAAAGAUGAGAUAUCCAUAUGAAUAAGCAUAAAUUUAUACUCAUCCUAUGUGGCAACUAAUUGGAUAUGAUCCAAUUAGUAUGCAUGGCAACUAAUUGGAUGUAAUCCAAUCAGUUGCAACAGGUAGUGGGAUGUGCCGGUUUGUAUGGCUUUAAUUAAAUCGUGGGAUUUAAUUAGUUGCAACAGAUUGUGACAUGUACAUAGGGCGCGGCUACAUUAGUAGUUAAUUGAGGAACUACGUGAGGAUAUAUAUAAUAUCUACACGAGAGGGAUUUAAUGAUUGCUUCUUGAGAAGUAUCAGAUAAUUCAUCUCUCUCUAUUAUCCUUCGUAAAAAUCAAUAACUCUCACAAAAGGGAAUGUGGAUAUCAUAAGACUGCUAGCACUUUGUAAUCUGCGAUUCAUCUGUUCCGUGCGAUGGAAGGUGUUGGAUCUGGAUCAAUUCCGUGUGGAUAUGCGUAGAGGCCGGGCACGUACGCGGCUAAUCGGAAUCUCAGUUUCAAUCGUACAGUAGAUCGGAAUCUCAGUUUCAAUCGUACAGUAGAUCAAGAGACCUUAACUGGCCCGAGGUAAUAUAGCCUGAACUUCAAAUCUGUUUAGGUUAGAUUAUUAUUUUACAUCGUAACAUGAGAAUGAUCCGCCGGCACUAGAUUGAUUUGUUUUGUUUUGGUUCAUAUUGAUAUGGAUAUUUGUUUUUCGAAAACAUGAUAUUUAUUUCCGCUGCGAUUUUUGUGCCGGAUAAUUUCUUACAUUAAUAACCUAUAGUACUCUUAUUUUGUCCAAAAAUUGGCUAUGUAAACCAAGAAAGAUUAUAUUAUUCGUAUGACACUAUUGUUAAAUAAUUGCAGCAGCAUCGUACUUAUUCUACACGAUUGAUCAGCUUUUCAACUAACCAAAUUGUAAAGUCUAUGGAUUGUCAAUAUUAAUUUGUUUUAAAACAACACUUAAAACAAAAUAAAGAAAUGAUCUCUAGCUGGCCGAGUGCUUAAUGAUUAUUAAUAAUAAAUGAAGCCCAAUGUUUACUAUCUUUCUCUCAAAAUAAUAAUAAUGAUAAUAAUAAUUGGUUUGUAUUAUAAUAUGUUUUGCUUUAUAUAUAUAUAUAUAUUUUUUAGAAAAAUAAAAAAAUAUCUUGUGUACGGACAAGGUGAUGAACUUCCAAUAGGGGAUGAUGAUGAUGAUGUAAUCAUUUGUUUGUCGUAUCUAGCCGCCGUACGUCAUUGGCCCACGUGAGUUACUGUGUACAUGCAUGUGGACCCCAUAUCCAAUAAUAACUAUAAUAAUUACUCUCUCUUCCCCUUAACCCCAUUUUACUGGUCAAACCCAUUCACCUCUCCCUUGAAUUGUUGAAUCCCCCCACUCAAACUAUAAAAACCCCUCCACCCCAACGUCCAAAAAUCGCAGCUCAAGUGUUUGUGUACAACCAACUAAGUAAUAAUCUCUAGCUUAGCUACUCUUGUUGUUGUUUUUUCUCUCAUAUCCCAAUGGAUUCUCCUAAUUCCUACUUCUCCUCGUCGUCGUCGUCGUCGUCGUCGUCGUCGGACUCGUCUUUGUUCGGCGAAUUCUUUCCUUUCGGCCCCGACGAUGCCGAGGAGAUGCUCUCCUUCGGCACGCUCGCCGACACUGGCGAAGGCGCGCCCCCCGAUGAGGCGAAAAAGAAUGGCGCGGAGGAGGGCGUGGCGGCGGCGGCGGGGAGAAAGGAGAGGAGCUAUAUAGGGGUGAGGCGGCGGCCGUGGGGGAAGUUCGCGGCGGAGAUACGGGACUCGACGCGGAACGGGGCGCGGGUGUGGCUGGGGACGUUCGACACGGAGGAGGCGGCGGCGCUGGCCUACGACCAGGCGGCGCUGUCGGUGCGAGGCGCGGCCGCGGUGCUCAACUUCUCCGAGGAGCGGGUGAGGGAGUCACUGGAGGGGCUGCAGUGGGGGGAGGAGGAGGAGGGGUGCUCCCCUGUGAUGGUGUUGAAGAAGAGACACUCCUUGAGGAGGAGUAGGGGUGGUGGUGGUGGUGGUGGUGUUGGUAGGAAGAGGAGGAGGAGGGUUGUGGUGAGCCAUGGAGAAGAGGAUGAUCAGGAGAUCAAAGAGGUGGUGAGGGUUGAGAAUGUUGUGGUGUUGGAGGAUUUGGGGGUGGAGUAUUUGGAAGAGAUUCUGAGAAUCUCAGAGAUUGCAAACACUACCUACUACUCCUCUACUGAAUUAUAGUAUAUUAACUUAGUUUGAUCCUUUGUUGUUAAUUUUCUUUUUUACUGUAACAAUAUCAUGAUUGAUCAAAUGGUAUAUGAUUACUUUAUUUAUUUAAUUAAUUAAGUUUUUUCUUUCUCCUCCUCCUCCUCCUCUACUCAUCCUCUUCUCCUCUUCCUCCGUCGCAAGCUACCGUUGUCGAUCGACGCAUUCAUAUAUGAUUUCCCAUAUAUGAAUUUCAUUUGUGAUUUGUUUUUGUCUAAUUUGUCCAUCCUUUAUUUAUUCAUCUUUUAUAUCCUAAUAAAAAUUUCUUGAUAUAAUUAAUGAUACAAUUAAUCACUGAUUUAAUAUGUGAAUUAAUGUAUCCCUAGCCUUUUUGCUCCUCCUCUUCCUUUGUGUUCAUGUUGUUUGCUUUUGUUCUAAUUUGUCCAUGCUUAUUUUUUUUUUUCAUAUAUUUUAAUAAUUUCCUUAUAUAUAUAUGUACAUGUGAGUGAAUAUAUAUCAUCUAUAUAAACUUGUCUUUCUCCUCCUCCACUCAUCCUUAAUUCUCCUCGUCAUCCUUAGUUGAGAUGAGGUCAACAAAGGAUGAAUAAAAACAAAAAAGAAAAAAAAAAGAAGGAUCCAAGAAGAGGCACAAAAUAUAAUAUUGUAUAAUUUCCAGAAAAAAUGUCAAUACAAUUUUUUAAAAAAAAAAAUUAACAGUAAGAGUUUAAUUAAGUGAUAGUAAUGUUUUGAUAGAGAGGUUCCAAGUGGUUGUGGAUAGAGACAAUAUUGUGCCACUUGCAAAAUUACAGGGUUAAUUAAUUAACCUUAUUUUCAUUCACAUCAAUAUAUGUUUACCUUAAAUUUAAUCAUAUUUAUAAUAUAGAUUUGUAUACUUUGCUGGAUAGUAAUUUCCUACAAAACUAUUUUUUGAGGAGUCACUCAUUUCAUGAAAUUAAAGUUGGUUUUUAUUAAUUUGGAAGUCCCCAAAUUGAAUUUUUUUGUUUUUUUAGCUCAAUUUUAUUGUGAUGGAGUGGACGGCGAAUGGACUUUAUUCUUGUUAUUAUUGUUUAGCCAGAAAGCUCAUCUUGUUUCAGAAAAACAAAUAUCGAUCGUGGCGUAAAAACUUAUAAUAACUUAAUUUUUGUUUUAUGUUGCUAAAUAAACCAUAUAAAUAUGUAGAUAUCUAGCAAGAAAUUCACCAUGCUACAGUACAUUCAAUCGUAUAAAAUUUGAGAUUAAAGAAAAAAAGGAAACGAAAAACUUAAUUAGUGUAACCAAACAAGUCCUAAUGAGCUUCGAAUUGUUUGACACGUUAUCAAAUUUCAAAUUUUGUAACAAUCAUGAUCACUAUGCUCUAUUAUGAUAUAAUUUUAUCAGAAUUGAUCGAUUCGUUAAUUUAAUUACAAUUGUUUGAUCUCCAUAUAUAUGUAUAUGGUUGGUAACUGAUUCUACAGUUCCUUUAAUUGGUAAAAAAAAAAAAAAAAAAAGUUAGAGAAAUGAAGAAAGUGUAGAGAGUUUAAAGUCCAACUCCUUUUUUUGUGAAUAAUAUUCUGUUUUGAUCGAGGGUUGCUACUAAAAUUAGUAUCGGAGUUGAAAAUUUCAAAAUUUCAAGCUCAAAUCAGCGAUAAAUAUUUUCUCUACCAAGUGGAAAUUGAAGAUUAAUAAUAUUUUGUGUUAGUAGAUUAAUUAGAUAAAAUGUCAGAUCAUUAUUAAUCCUUCUUCAAAUUGUUAAAUUGUAUGAAACAACCAUUUAUCUUCAGUAGCUUAAGCUUAUCAGAGAACGGUAUUUUUAAUAUUUAUAUUUAACACUUCUCAUCACGUUUAAGCUCGAGACCUCGUGAUAGGCUCAAGAUGUAACUUGAAUUAAUUGGAAAGAAAUUAAAUAAUGUUAGGAUCGUAAUCGGACUCGAACUCAGAACCUAUUAAUUAAACAACCAUUAUUCUCCAAAAAUUUAAAUUACUACAGAAUGGUGUCUUUAUUCAACAAAAGUCACAUCAGUUGUCAACACAUUGGAGAUUUUUGUGGAGGCACUGAAAUAAAAUUUAAAAUGGAAUCGCAUACUUUGCUAAAAACAAAGAUCAACAGUGUAGAAAAUUAGAAACUCUCCUAAAUUCAGUGCACAAAAUGUAAUUAAGACUUUUGGAUUAUAUAUAUACAUGGAAAUUACUAUAGAUGGUACUGUAGUUUUAGUUGGAAAAGGUGGAAUUAAUUCAACGUUCAUUUGUCAAAUGAAAUAAAUAAAAGAAGCUGGUACAAUAUGGAAAAAUAAAGCCAAUAAGGUGACAGUAGAAAAAGCCAAAGUCAAAGUAUCAGAUCUGAUACAGGGGUUAUCAUGAAUGCAUCACCACUAGCUUGUUUCUUUUCAUUGAUUAAUUUGAAGGGUUAUUUAAUUUAUAUUUAUAUCAUCAUAAUGAGGAAAUUUCCAUAGUCAAGAACUGUGGGCAGAUCAAAUUAAGCAGUGUUUUCUUGCCUUUUUGUAAGAGAAAUUUAGUAUAAGCAGUAGGAAUUUGUACAUGGAAAUUAAGCUAGAUGCGAAAGCAAAAGUAAAUUUGGUAUAAAAUUGGAAACCCAAGCAAUAAUUUGGCUUUAAAAACAAAAAGGGCUAAAAUGAGCAUAACCCGAUCUUUAUCAGUUUACUCCUUUCGCAAUUCUUUCGCAAUUCUGAUGUCACUCUCGUAGAAUAUUAGAAAAUGUGAAAAUGUAAUUUCAAAAUAAUUAUAUAAUUCUUAUAUCGAUAUAUAUUCUUUGUUAGGGAGUUUUGGACUCAGCUCGGACCUAUAUGAGUCCAAAGAUAUGACUUAUCUAAUGGAAGCUUAGGCCACAUAUAUAUAUAUAUAUAUAUAUAUAUAUAUAGAAUUAGGCUGGAAUACUAUUAAUAGUAAAAUGCUCUUUUUGCUAUCAAGUUUUUAACCCUUGGAUGAAAAAUUGUAGGGUCAGGAUGAUAUUAGUCGGUUAGAGUUGAGUGGUCCCCCUAGGGUUGAGUGGUCCCCACUGGGUUAUAGUAUUUAAUCCAAUGGUUAGAAAUAAUNCUCUCUCUCUCUCUAUAUAUAUAUAUAUAUAGAGUUGAGCUAUGAUACUUUUACAAGUAUCACCAUCAUGGUGCUAUUAGGUUUUAAGCCAUUGGAUCUACUUUUUGAUUAUUAAUAGCCAUUGGAUUAAACACUAUUCCACCUACCACCACCUACCACCAUCAUCUCAACCUCACAUCUCUCCAUCCAAGGGCUAAAAACACACAAGUAUCACCCCCAUGAUACUUUUACAAGUAUUCUAGCCCUACUAUAUAUAUAUAUAUAUAGAGUGGGCUGAUAUGCUUCUGGAAGCACGAAGCCCUCCGUGCUUCCAAGUUGUUUUCGAUGUUGGGACUUUCGAAUCGACGAUCGACUCCGUUAGAGUUGUUCUAGAGUACUUGAAGUAUCUAGAAAAUAAAUUUUGUGAUUUUUCGAUAUCAUUUGCCUAGUGAGUGAAGGGCUCAAAAUCAAUAAUUUUAAUGCCCGUGGUGAACCGUUUGCAAGUUUACGGUGUAGAAAUAUCCAAAUCAUAUGAAAUUUUAAUAGAAAAUUUUUUUAUACCAUAUAAAACAACAUCAAUAACUUUGAUCUAAAAUGUUAAUGUCAUAUCAUCAUAUUUUGUAACAUUUUUAUUUUGAGCCGUUGAUUUUGAGCCACUUCGAUCACUAGGCAAAUAAUAUUGAAAAAUCGCAAAAAUUAUUUUCUAGAUACUUCAAAUACUCUAGAUCAAGUAUAACGGAGCCGAUCGUCAAUUUGAAAGUCCGAAUAUCGAAAACAACUUGAAAGCACGGAGCACUCUGUGCUUCUAGAAGCAUACCAGACACACUAUAUAUAUAUAUAUAGAAUUAGGCUGGAAUACUAUUAAUAGUAAAACCCUCUUUUUGCUAUCAAGUUUUUAACCCUUGGAUGAAAAAUUGUAGGGUCAAGAUGAUAAUAGUCGGUUAGAGUUGAGUGGUCCCCCUACGGUUAAGUGGUCCCCACUGAGUUAUAAUAUUUAAUCCAAUGGUUAGAAAUAAUGAAAAGAGUUGAUCCAAAGGCUAAAAAACUGGUAGCAAUAAUGGUAUUUUGCUACUAAUAGUAGCCCAGUCCAACUCUCUCUCUCUCUCUCUCUCUCUCUCUCUCCGUCGGACCUGCCCUCCGCCCUCAUCUCCGCAGUUGCUCUCUCUCUUCUAAUAAUAUAUAUAUAUAUAAUAUAUCAUAGUCCGACUCCCGUACUUUCGAAAGUACGGGAGGCCCCUGCUUAUAAGUUUGUUCUGAUGAAGGACGUUCAAUCUACGAUCGGCUCUGUUAGGUAUGAUCUAACCCUAUUGGAACUAUCUAGAAACCAAAUUUUAGAUUUUUUUUAGCAUCAUUAACUAAGCGAUCAAAAGUCUAAAAAAUGACUAUUUUAACGGUCGAUGUGGCACAUUUUUAAGUUCAACGGAUGUAGAAGUAUUCAAAUUAACAUGAAAAUUUAAUAGAAAUUCUACUUAACAUCAGUAGCAAGAUCAAUACUUCCGAUUUAAAAUUUGAUCCUUUAUCACUAUUUUUAUGAGAUUUUCAUUUCACCGUUCAUUUUUGAGGCUACUCGUUCACUAGACAAACGAAAUAAAAAAAUUAUGAAAUUUGGUUUCUAAUAGUUCCAAUAGCGUAGAUCAAGUUUAACGGAACGAUCGCCGAAUCGGAUUGUCCAUCAACGAAAACAACUACAAGCACGGGCGCUCCCGUACUUUCGAAAAUUUUUUUUUCACUAGUUAGAGUAAAUCAGUACCUCUGGAUAGUAUACCGUCUAGUUAUAUAUAUAGAGUAAGAUCAUGUCGAAAAACAUCUUUUUAUAAUUUUUUUUCACUAUUAGAGUAAGAUCAGUACCUCUAAUCUUAAAUUCAGUAUUUUAUCAUUAUUUUUAUGAAAUUUUUUAUUUUCAGCCAUUCAUUUUUCGAUUACUCCGUUGAUAGGUAAAUAAUGCCCAAAAAUUAUGAAUUUAGUUUCCAAAUACUUUUAAUAGUGUUAGAUUAAGUCUAACGGACCGUUCAUCGAUUUAAAAGCCGCAUCAUUAAAAACAAACUUAACGACUUGGUAGCACUACCGAUAGUAUACCAGCCUAGCUUAUAUAUAUAUAUAUAUAUAUAUAGAUAUAGAGAGAGAGAAAGAGAGAGAAGAAGGAGAGAGAGAGAGAGAGAGAGCGCCAGGCCGGUUCUAUAAUAGCACCAAUGACUGGUGCUAUUAAGUUUUCUAGCCAUUGGAUUAAAAAAUGUGCGUUAGAAUGAUGUGGCCUCCUAAGAUUUGAGUGGGUGGUCAUUUGAAUAGUAUUUCGAACGGAUGAAAAAAAAAGAGUUAAUCUCAUACAUGUCCAACCUAGCUCCGAUAGUAUAACAACCUAGCUAUAUAUAUAUAUAUAUAUAUAGAGAGAGAGAAGCAGAGAGAGAGAGAGAGCUAGGUUAGAUCUAUCGCGGUAGCACGGAGGCCUCCGUGCUACCAAGUUAUUUGCAAUGAUGCGGCUUCCAAAUCGACGAUCGGUUCGGUUAGACUUGAUUUACACUAUUAAAAGUCUUUGGCAACUAAAUUUUAUAAUUUUUCGAUAUCAUUUACUAAUCAAACGAGUAGUUGAAAAAUAAACGGCUAAAAAUAAAAAUCUCAUAAAAAAUGAUGAUAAAAGAUUUAAAUUUAAAAUCAGAGGUACUGAUCUUACUCUAAAUAGUAAAAAAAAAUUUCUAUAAAAAUUUCAUCAGAUUUGAAUUGUUUUACACCGUUAAAUUCACAAAUGCAUCAUAUCGAUCAUUAAAAUUGUCAAUUUUGAGACCCUUUGAUCACUAGCCAAAUGAUGUCGAAAAAUUAUGAAAUUUAGUUUUCAAAUACUUUUAAUAGUGUAGAUUAAGUCUAAUGAAGCCGAUUGUCGAUUUGAAAGCCGCAUCAUUGAAAACAACUUAGUUUACCGAUAGUAUACCAACUUAGCUCUCUCUCUCUCUUUCUCUCUCUCUCUCUCUCUCUCUCUCUCUCUCUAUAUAUAUAUAUAUAUAUAAUCUUCUGAUAUGGAACUACUCAUAUUAGUGUGAACUCAGUAAUAUUCUUUUCCGUAUUAUUAACAAACUUACCAUUAACUUUUUCUUCAAAUUGUGAGCAACAGAAGCAUUAAGUUGGUCGCGAACAUGAGAACGAAUAUCCGGAUAUUAUUUUUCCAUCACACAAUGCCUAUAGUAGAUAUUUACAAUAAAAUUUCAAAAUUUUCAAAUAUUUUGUGGACGAUAAAAUUACAGAGGAAUUUAAGCUUUUAUACAUUUUUAUCAAGAGGAGAAGAACACAAAUAUUCUAAUUUAUCUGAAAAGUUACAUGAAUUUUAGCCUUUAAAAUAAGCACAAUAUAUAGGGAAAUUAAGUAAAAGCACCACAAAAAAUCAGUAUACUAGAAACUGCAAAUAAAUAAUAUCAUCUAUGGAAAAAUCAUAUAUAUGUGAGAAUAAUAUUGUGGUCCCAUGAGAAAGGUGAAUUCAAUAUUAAUUUGUCAAACCAAAUAAAACAAGCUUAGCUUAUACAAAAGAGGCCAAGUGAACUACCACAUCUGUUGUACCUAUGUUAUCAUCUUCUCAUUUAUAGUUUGACUAGAAAAAAAUUAUAUGAGAUGGGGAAUUGAUAGUCUAAAUUUGUGGGCAGUGUAUGUUCGUAGUACAUUUUUCUCCCCUUCAAAAAAUAAAUUAUAAGGUGUAGGACAUUUUAUUUUCAAAGCAUGAGUAUAUAUAUAUAUAUCCUGAGUAUUUUAUAAAUUUCAUGAUACUAAGAAAUACGACUAAGUCUAGGAAGAGUUUGGAUGUACUUUUAUAUAUAUCUCAACUGUACCAUGGGAGUUGGUUGAGAUCAAUCACUUUCUUUUUGGUCACACCUUCGAUUUCUAUAUAUUUUCAAUUAAAAAGUCCAAAUAUUCUACAAAAUGAGAAAACGUUAUUUACUUUAUUCUCUGAGAAGAUAAAUUCUAAUUUGAAAAUUCUAAUUUUAUGCAGUUUGAGAUGGACGGCGAUCGAUAGUGUUUCAUUAAAUAUCACUAUACCUUGCAGUGAAGCUAAUGCGUCCGGACAAAAAUUUUGUAGGCAUCGUCCCCAAACAAAUUGUUUGGAGACGAUGCCGAUAGGCGCCCAUCGCGACCCUCGGAAACAAAAAAAAAAAAAUUAUGGGCUCCAAUUUUUUAUAGAGAGAGAGAGAGAGAGAGAGAGAGACGGUCGUGAUGGGCGCCCGCACACCACACGGCGCCCAUCGGCUCCGUCUCCAAACAACUUAAUUGUUUGGGGGCAGAUGCCCGCAAAAUUUUUGUCCAAUGCGUCCUAUGUGUUUGUUCAAUCUUGAGCUUUGAAAAGCCUCGUCCUUCCGGGAAGCUGAGAGUUUAUUUAAACUUUUGGCUAUAAAAGCAUUGUACUUUUUAUUUGUUAUUUAUGGUGUAUUAUUUUUCAACGGCAGAAAGAAAAAAAAAAAUUAUCAUAAAAAUAAGACCAAGGAGAUGCCAAAUAAGGUUGAAAGAAGUUUUUUCUCGAGGCCUAUUUUGAUAUAUGUUGGAAUAAGUUGUAUAGUGAUAACGAUCUCCAAAACCAACCUAAAUUUGAGAUUAGGGGAAUGAGCUUCAACUUGACUCGAAUCACAAAUUUCAAUUAGAUUACUAGACUACGAAUUCGGAUAGAAUUUGAAUCAAGAUGUUCCGACCUGAAACUCUUUUCGAUGAGUCUACAGUAAGCCUGGUUUGGGUCAUGUAUAUAUUUUUCUUAGGGAAAACUUCAAAAACCCCCACCUGUGGUUUCACACUUUCUCACUUUAGUACCCUGUGGUUUAAAGUGUAUCAAUUUAGUGCUCUGUGAUUUCAUUUUUCUCUUUUUAUUAUCAAUUUCAUUAUUUUUUUUCUUUAAAUCAAUGACAAAGUUAAAAUUAAAGGAUAUUAAAGUAAAUAUUUAAUAAAUCUAGGUGGGUAUCUGAAGUUUUUUUAUAUAUAAUUUAACGAAAUAUUAACGAAAAAGCUGCCAAAAAGAUAAAAAUGAAACCACAAGGCAUCAAAUUGAUACACUUUAAAUCACAGGGUACUAAAGUGAUGAGAAAAUGCGAAACCACAUGAGGAAUUUUUGAAGUUUUCCCCUUAGAUUGGUUUGGAUCAAGUUGCUUAAGGUUGGAUUAGCUAAGAUUUUGUUACUAUUGAGUUGAAAGGAUGUAACAUAUGUUCUUGGGUGAAAAUGGAUUAAAGGUUUGGGUGAAUUUCUCCAUAAACUGUUGUUGGAAGGGUCAUGAUUAUGAAUGAUGUUCCAUUGAUUGAGUUCGAAAUUUGUUCGUUCGAUUUGAUCAGUCACUGAAAACCUGCCCAGUUCAGAUUUAGAUUUGGGGUUCAGGUUGAACUGGUCAAAUCGAUUUAGAGUUGAGCUUUAUAGUUUUAUUACUUGAGAUCAACCCAAACUAAGUAUAGAUGCACUUCUAUGAAGUGCAACAUUAUUAGCCCUACUAACCCUAGAAAAAAUUAACUAUAAAUUCAAAUAAAUAUGGGACCAUGCAUGCUACCCUAAUGAAACUAACACUUUGUUUUUUCUUCUUUCUUUCAAUUUGUUCUCUUUUUUUUUUUCCUUCAAUGGAAAGGGUUACUUGCUCCAUUCACUCCUCAACUUUUGAAUGGAAAGGGUUAUUUAUAUUGUUUUAGUUUAAGUCUUUACCAUAAAAAAUGACGAUAAAUUAAUCGGACAAUCGAUAUUUACCACGUGACGAGGUUCGGUGCUGAUGUAGUAAAAAUGAUUUAAUACUGAUACGACGAUUACCAUUAGAACUAAUAGUAACACUCAGCCCACCGAUAGUAAUAACUCGCUAGACCGAAAGCAUUCGCCCAAAAUGCUUCACUAACCACAGUUAUAAGAGACCAUAACGUUCACGUUAUGUCCAAUUUUUUAGUCAUUCUCUAACUUAAAAAAAUCAUCAAACAAUGUGAGACAUAUAUCACAUUUUCGGCCCGAAAAAACGACUGAACCCUCUCGCACUAAUAUCUCACUCGGAACAAAACUACCGACUCAAAAUAGUUAAGCUCAGUUAUUCAAACUAGAGUUAUAGUGGCCAUAGGCCCAUUUUGGCCCAAUUAAAUUAUAGCCCACUUGGUUAUGGGCCCAAGCCCAAGUAGCUACCGUUAGAUGUAUCGGCAAAUAAAAGUGUCGGGAAAUUAGGGUUUCCACCGCGAAUCCUCUUCUUCUUCUUCGUCUUCUUCUUCCCCGAGCAAUUCACCUCGAAUCCCUCGUCCAUGGCCGCUUCUCGCGUGCUUCAGCGGCGCCUCGCCUCUUUGCUCCGUCCCAAUCGACCCCCGUCUCUCGUCUCCCCAGGUUGUUCUUCGCCUCUCGCCCUGAUUUCGCUCUUCUUUGUUGUUCUCUUGAUGCUGUGUAUGCUGAUGUUGUUGGUGGAUAUGAAAACAAGCAGAGGAAAUAGAGAAAUUGGUGUUUGUAAAGACUCGAUCUUUGCAUGCUAAAUGCUUCUUAAUUGCUUUACUUUUGCUUUUAGUUUACUGGAUUUUGCUCGAGAGCUUGCCCUUUUUCCCCACUGUAUUGUCGAUUGGGUAGUGGCUCUUUAGGGUUUUAUGUGAUUCCAUUUUUGCCGUUUACUCUUUUUUUUUUGUUUUUGAGAUAGUUUAGGAGGAAUUUAAAUCAAACAGGUUGAUGGGGUUGUGCACUUAAUGAACUUAAACCAUUAUUUGCUGAUCUCCAAUAAGGUUUUAGAAACUUAUGACAAUGGUUGUUUUUGAUCCUUUUCAUAAUCAUAAUCACUUUUGGAUCAUCAUUCAUGUUCAAUCAUGAUCUGUUGAUAUCUAUGUAGUUGUACCCCAAAGCUGUGGAGUUGCAGGGGUGGUAAUUAUAGGACACAAAAUAUAGAGUAUAUAUGGCUCAUGAACUCUGUUUUUGGCUUUAAAAAUGUGAGAAAUCGAAUAAUUCAUUGAGCCAACAAAUUAUAUUCUGUAAUAAUAGACCAUCCCUCCGUGGCGUGUGGAAAAUGCAAACCAUUUCUAUCCGACCUUGUUCUUGCCUAUUAACUGAUUUUUUGGUGAAUUGAGAUUCUAUUCAGAACUUUUCAGAAUAAAUAAGAUCGCUGAUGUUGUUCUUUUAGUUUAGUACUUAGCUACUUGCUUUCGAUAUACUCUCAACUGAAUAUUGUUUUUGUCAUAGUGCUAUUUUCAUCUAUAUCAGGUCUAGUUUUUGAGCUAUGAGAGGAUCGUCUUUUUUGAGAAGCCGCGUAGAUUAUCGGCUGUUGAUAUGUUAUCUUUCUUUCCCUGAGAAAAUUUUGCUUAUGAAGCUACUAAGUAUAGGCACAUUAUACUGAGAUAACCAUGAUUGGUAUUUGUCUCCAUGUUACAUGAUCCAAAAGGCACUUUCUAAGUAAUUUUUUCAUCCUUGUUCAUACAUAGAUCAUGUAUGAAUGGAUAUAAACAUUGGUUGCAUCGGGAGACAUCUUCUUUCAUCGGAAUCAACGACGCGUGUUUCUUUAAGGCGUAUACCAUUCUUCAGUUGCUUCCUUUUCGUUCGUACUCUUCUUGUCUACGGGUUUCUGUUGCAUAGCUUUCAAAUUUUGGGUGUGUUGUGUCAUUCUUUUAACCUGUUAGUUAUGUGUAUGAAGUGGCGAAAUCUAACUAUUCAUAAAUUGCUAUUGUAGGAAGUACAUGGUCAUCAUAUGUAAUAGGAGGUAUAAGAAGUACACAAACAAUGACGAACUUGAUUACCGUAGAAGAUAACGGCAACACCGAGGAUCAUGAAGCAAGCCAGAAUCACUCAAAACCGGUCUCCAACCCGAGUGAUCGUACUAGCCCUAACACUACCAGAGAGUCCAAUGUGAGAUACUCCGCAUUCUCAAACCUAAAAUCAUCGCAGAGGCACGACCUCGCCAUGAUAUUCACGUGCAAGGUGUGUGAGACCCGGUCGGUGAAGACGGUGUGCCGUGAGUCCUACGAGAAGGGCGUCGUGGUUGCCCGGUGCGGGGGGUGCAGCAACCUCCAUUUGAUCUCCGACCGGCUUGGGUGGUUCGGUGAGCCCGGAAGCGUCGAAGAUUUCCUGGCGGCACGAGGAGAGGAGGUGAAGAGAGGUUCUGCAGAUACCUUGAAUCUUACCUUAGAGGAUUUGGCCGGAAAUAAGUCAUCGUGAUCUUCUGGAUUUUAGGGGAUGUUCGGUUGGAUAACUGUUAUAAAUAUAGUGUAAUUGAAGAUGCAUUUAAUCAAAAAUAUAAUAGUCACAACUGCUUUACAACUAUAACUAUAAUUUGUUUGGCUGCAUAAAAAGUGAUUAAGAAUGUAAGUUUUUUUUUGUUUAAAAUUACUUUUUUCAAUUGUUACAAUUACAGUGUAGUUACAACUACAUAUACCAAACAAUCCCUUAGCCUCCGUUUGGUUGGGGGUUAAGGGGUGGAAUAACGCCUUAACCCCUAUUUUAUCUCCAAACACAUUUAAAAAUGGGUGGAGUUAGCUAACCACAGCUAACCCCACCUCAAAUGGGUUAUUCCGGAUUAGCUAAUCCCACCUAAACCCCAACCAAACACUAUUUUCUAUUCAUAAUAAUCCACUAUCCUUCUUAUCCCACCUAUUCCAACCAAACACUAUUUUUCACUAUCCUGAACUAACUCCAACCCCUAACCAAACACAAAAAUACUCUAACCCCACCUUAACCCUAAACUUAACCCUAUCCCUGAAAUAACUAAUUUUUUCUUAACCCCGAACCAAACGGUAGCUUAGGAUAUUUUGACGAAAUUCUAUGCGAGUACUUCAUAUAUCCUGGUCUCAACUUUGUUUCCUAGUUGGUAUUGAAGAAAAGAAUCUAGGGGUGAAGUAUCUAUUGUAAGAAACCUUCUAGUCAUGGAUACAAUAUUGUUAUAAAGCAAAGCUAGUUAUGAUUAUUUAAACAGGAAGAAGCAAAUUAUAAAAGCCAAAAAAAAAAGUUAAAAGGUCACAAGUUCAAUAUUUGUAAGUGAAAUUUAAACAGAGUACAUUGGACAGAUUAGAGAAUAAAACAUACACUGAAGAAUAGCAAUUUCCUGAAGAUGUUACGAGGUAGCUAAAACAUGUUCAACAUAAACUUGAGGCUUUUGUCUGUAAUAAUCAACUUCAUAAAAUAUGCAACUGCUGUAAAUAAGCAGCUUAUGAACUGCCUCCACUGUGUACUAAAAAGGUCAUCAUCAUCUUAGGGUUUAACUGUAUAAAUCAUCAUCGUCCGCUGAGGCACCAGAAGCAGCAAAUGGGUCGGCCACGGCGGCUCCCGCACCAGCCUCAGACCGCUCUGAGAAGCGGAACUCACUGCCGAACCCCCUCGAUUGCUGUAAAGUCUGCGCGAAUGCCUGGUAUUUCCUGAUGUCGGCGUCGCUGACACUCCGACGCGCGUACUUCAUGGAUUCCUCGAAAUGGACGGCCUUGAUCUCCGCCACGUCGUUGGCGUCGUCGUCUUCCUCCAUUGCUUCCGGGUUCUCCCUCUUCCUCCUCUCUCUUUCUAUAUCCUGUAGCAUAGACAGCAUGAUAUUUAGCCAUUUAAGUGUCAAGCAUCAGUGGCUAGCAAGAAUACCCAUGGAUUUGGAUCGGCUAGCCCACUAUAUUUUUUUCCUCAAAUUUAAAUGAAAUCAAAAGGAAUAGAAGAGUUAUCUAAUCUCAAACCAAAAUAAUACAACAAAACAAGAAAUCGCGGGCUCCUUCAGGGUAAAAUGAAAAAACAGCCAGAAACUGGAGCUCAGCUCGCUUCGCAGAGAUGAAAAAGGGAAUCUAGUAGUAAUUAUGAGGAACAUGCACAAUUCUAGCCAACUAACGAGGAAUCAAUAAGGAUUAACAACAAACCAAACAUAUUCUGCGAAAAUACAAAUGCCAGUAGCUCACCUUCUCAAUGUUCUCUCUAAUGGCAUAUUUGCAAGCCCGCUGGCAAAUCUCUGUGAUAUCUGCACCGCUAAAGCCUUGGGUGUACUUCGCAAGGGCGUGCAAAUCCACAUCCUUAGCGACAGGGGACUUCCUAAGGCAAGCUUUGAAAAUCUGGUGGCGAGAAGCCUCAUCAGGCAAAGGAAUAUAAAUUAAUUGGUCCAGCCGUCCUGGCCUUAGUAGCGCCGGGUCAAUAAUGUCGGGUCUGUUGGUCGCUCCAAUAAUAAAGACAGUUUUCUUAGCAGACAUUCCAUCCAUCUCUGUCAAGAGCUGGUUGAGAACCCUGUCUGCAGCGCCUCCUGCAUCUCCCACACUGCUACCUCUCUGCAAUGAAAGGUUACAAAGUUUACAUAAGGAAAAAGAAGUUGAAGCUCCUUAAGAGUAAAUUUUAGGUGCACUAUGUGGGUAUGCUUGGCCCCAGCUGGAGCUUCUGCUGGACAGCCAGUAGAGCUGUUCAAGAAUCCCAAACAGUUUCAUUAUAAUUUGUACAACUUAACACCGAGUUAGAAGUUAUUCCAGAUCGAAGUUUUGCUUCCGAGAUUAAAAAGUCUAUCAGGUUUCCUCGUUUACAGCUCUGUUUUUUAUUUUUUCCGGCUUUUGGUAACCAAACAAGUAACUCAUUGCUUCUGUAGUGGAAAGCUACUGGAAAGCCAAGGAUAAAUUAAUAUGUAAGUCAUAAAUAUUCUGACUCUGUUGGAGGGGUGCAAUGACAAAGUAUGGGGGCUCAAUUGCAGAUGUUCAUCAUUCCCCGACUAGGGGCAGUAAAUGGCGGUACGAACAGCAGAGCAGAUUUGAAACCACAAUGCAAAUGAAAUAAGUGAUAAAUGGUCGAGAUUGAGCCCUCAAUUUUUUCUCUUUCCAACAAUAUGACAUACGCUUUCUAUUAAAAAAUUUGUUCCAAGAAUCCGGCCAAACAGGCAUUAUGUAAAUGUAAAUGUGUCCGAGUAUAGAAUAGGAUCGUAUGACAAACCUGGGUUGCAAUGGAAUCGAGCUCAUCAAAGAAGAGGACGCAUGGCGCAGAUUGGCGAGCCUUGUCGAAAAUUUCACGAACAUUCGCUUCACUCUCGCCAAACCACAUGGUGAGCAGUUCAGGACCCUUCACACUGAUGAAGUUUGCUUGGCAUUCAUUAGCAAUGGCCUUCGCCAACAAAGUUUUGCCACAACCAGGUGGUCCGUAGAACAGGACUCCCUUGGAAGGCGACAUGCCAAACUUCUCAAACUUCUCGGGAUGCUCAACUGGAUAUUGGACGGUCUAGAAAAACACCAUGAGAAAAAUUUAGCUGCUAACUGAGAGUAUAAAUCAGGGAGGAAAUAUACAUAUCCAGCAAAAUCAUCUAUUUACAUAUAUAGAAUCUAAAAUCCUGAAUUUUCAUACAUAACACUUCAAAGAAAAGCUUCUUACGGAAUGCCCUUUAUUCUACAUUUGAUCGUUGGUGGGUUGUUAUUGGACAGGAAAAGUUUUUCAAAGAAGGCAUUUUUAGUAAGUACAAGGGCAUAUCUGAACAUUCAGAUUUUGGAGAAAUGCACAAGUGAGAAUAAAUAAUUAGUUGAAGUACAUGUGUAAAAUAUCAAGUAAAAAAGGCCAGCUCUUGAUAUACCUCCUGCAGUUCCCUCUUAACAUUAUCAAGACCACCGAUAUCUUCCCAGCUGACAUUGGGCACUUCAACAACCUGUACAAUUAAAGAAUAAUUUCAAUUUAUAAGAAAAAGCAUCCCAUGCAGAUAACAAUGUUAGAGCAAAAGCUGGUAUAAAAGAAAAUGGAAAGCAUGCAAGACUACAGUUUCACGGAGCGCAGAAGGAUUGCUGGUUCCAAGAGCCGUCUUAAAAUGUUCAUUGGUGACAGCCAUUGAGUUCAGUAUCUCUGCAUCAAUAGUUUCAUCCUCUAAGUCAAUUAUGUCCAUUUUCUCUCUUAUGCACUGUAGAGCAGCUUCAGUGCAUAGCGCAGCCAAAUCGGCACCAACAUAGCCAUGGGUGUCUUUUGCAAUUCUUUCCAAAUCAACCUGCGUAGAUGGAAUGAAGUUAGUCAAUGUAAUAUUCUAUAAGAAUGUACAACAAGGACUAGUUCAAAAGGCUGGUAACGUUACAAACAAAAGUACAAGGGAUUAAAAUGUUUACAUCUUCAGCAAGUUUCAUGUUCUUGGUAUGGAUGCGUAGAACUUCAAGACGCCCAACUUCAUCAGGCACCCCAAUAUCAAUUUCCCUAUCAAACCUCCCAAACCUUCUAAGAGCAGGGUCAAUACUGUUAGGUCGGUUUGUGGCUCCAAUCACAAUUACAUGUGCUCGAGCUUUCAAACCAUCCAUCAAAGUCAACAGUUGAGAGACAAUUCUCCUCUCAACCUCCCCAUGAGUCUUCUCUCUCUUAGGAGCAAUAGAAUCAAUCUCAUCAAUAAAAAUAAUCGAGGGUGCAUUCUUUUCUGCCUCCUCGAAAGCUUUCCUAAGAUUGCUUUCACUUUCUCCUGCUAGCUUCGACAUGAUUUCCGGACCGUUUAUAACAAAGAAGAAAGCACCUGUCUCGUUAGCAACUGCUCGUGCAAUAAGCGUUUUCCCAGAACCAGGAGGGCCGUACAGCAGAAUUCCUUUUGGUGGCUUUACUCCGAUGGAUUUGAAGAGUUGAGGGUGCCUUAGAGGUAAUUCAACUAGUUCACGAAUCUGAGCCAUCUGCUUGCGAACCCCACCAACAUCAUCAUACCCUACUUCAUCGAGCCUGUCUUCAUCCUCUCUUUUUACGGGUUCGCCCUCGCAAAAGAUUUCAGUGUCAGGGGCCACAACACAGUAUUCAGCAGGGUCAGUUUCUAUCACUUUGAACUCCACACAACGCAUACCACCUCUGACAAGGAACAGGUCACCCUUCCUUACCGGGCGAUAUGCCUCAAGGAAAUAAGCUGCAAAAAUAUGUCCAAAGGAAAAGGCCAUGAUCAACAUAAUCGACAACGUAUUUUUAUACUAAGAUAACUGAAAAAAAAAAAUUGACUGUUGAACAGCUUUCUAGAACUUGAUCUGAAAAGAUAAAAGAACUCUCCAUCCUCCAUAUAAACUUAAUAACAAGCAACCUACAUGAAUCAAUUUGAUCAUAUGCAAGAGAAAGCUAUCACUUAACACUAAGUUAUAGUUUAAAACAAUAGAGUUAUGAAGUUUACUACUCUCCAAACUCACAAGAGGAAAUGUUCCAACCUUCCACAAUCAAUUAUCACAUUAAACUUCUCAUUCUACCUCAAAAAUAUGUUUGGGCCUCCUGCAAGUAUUAUGACAAUCUCCUUUCUCACAAUAACUUUUUUUCCCUCUAAGAAAAUAUAUCUAAGUACCACCAUCAAAAAAUUGCAUCACACAAUGUCUGAGUUGCAUUUUACCAAACUUUUCUUUUCAAUAAUAAUUAAAACAGGCUAUUUGAAUCAAACUUACGUUUUAGGUAUGCAUCGAACAAGUUGCCAGUUACGCCUUCAAUGGUGUCGUCAAUAGGCAAUAUAUGCACACGUUUUCCAUACUUGACAUCCGGGCACUGAUGGACGGAAACAACGUCACCGAGCCUUACCCUGAGGUUAGACCUGACAACCUUGUUCAUCCUUAUCUUAGGCUCUUCACAAGUGUCAUCGGCAAGUGCGAUGCAGAUAGUGUCUCUCCUUUUCUUACCCUGAAUUUGCCAUAUAGAGUUGAAAAGUAGUAUCGAUCAGUAAAGCAAACAGAAUCAAGCAGCAGUCAAAUCUAUCCUAGUAGUUUGGCGCUUGACAGAAAAUCCUCAACUCUUUUGACAAAAAAUGUCACCCGUUUGAAUUUAACAAUACUUUCUGAAAUAGUGAAAUCAAAAUAAUUGUAAAAUUAGUUAGCAAAAUCAACAUUUUAAACUAAACAGAGGUAUUCAAAAUGCACAAUAGUUCAGGUAAGAUCUAUGCUCACCAAAGUUAAGAAUACAUUGAUCUACUCAUAAACCUAGAUACAAGUGUUUUCCAAUAGUUUGAAACUUAAGGACCCGUUUCGCCUGAUUAAAGCUUCUGCAGAACUGCUGUUUGAAUAGGAGAAACCCCAGCAACCUUCCUAUUACAAGAUUAUCAACAGCUUUCCAUUGCAGCUAGAAGCAAAAGCUUCAAAAUAGAACUUUUGCCUCUGGGUCCAAGAAGCAAGAAUUACAUCAUUUUUCAUUAACAAAAAUGUCUGGAUUUUUGCUUUUUGCGAAAAGAGAGUAAAUAUUCUUCAUUUGGUACAUAGAGUUCAAGAUCUCAGCCAAUUAUCCUUCUGUUAUCCUCCUAGAUAUAUCAUGUGAGAUGCAUAGAACAACUGAUUCAGCUACCAACCACAAAAAAAGGCCCAAUUCAACCAAAAGCACAACCUCUUCAAAGGAAAAACUCUUAACUCCACCGAAACCCACAUCACAAACCACCAAAAUCUAUCUACAGAAACAAACAAAACACCAAAGCCUCACCUUGAUAAGGAUCGUAUCGCCGCGGAAGAGCUGGAGCUUCUCCAUCGUCUCGGGAUGCAACGCGACCACCGAAUUGUCAUCGUUGACCGCCUCAUCAACCACCAAACGGUUCGGAGCCUUCUUCCUCUCCAAGAUCGCCGUGGAGAAGUCCCUCUUCGUCCCUUUCCUACAAAGUUCCCCACCACCCCCAAAAAAGAGAUCGAAUCAGUAACCCUAACCCCAAUUGAAGGCCCUAAUCGAGCUAAGAGAGGCAAUAAGGAGGAGGGAUCUUACGGAUCGGAGGAGGAAGCGGCCUCGCCCUGGUUCGCCAUGGGAUCUGAAUUAGGGUUCCGAGAGAAGGGAAUCGACGAAGACGAAGAAGGAGAAAAGUGCGAGGAGACACCGAAGAGUGAGGGGAUAUUAACAUUUAUAGUAGUGGUUUAAUUGUAUUGAUUAUCCCUGGACUAUCCUAAUUUACAAACUAGUCCCUUGUUUUUGUCGCUUUUUUUUCAAACUUGCAUACAUUGCACUUUAAUUUGUAAAAUAAAAUUUGUAAGAAUAAUUUAUUUUUCAUGAGAAAAUAGUCUUUUUAAUUCCUCUUGAAUUUAAUCAGGAUUAUUAAAAUAUUAAUAAGUAUUUACAAGGAUAUUUAUACAUCGCAUUUGUAUACAUAAUAAAGAUAUAAUAGGGACUGUAAGUGUAAUAAUAUUAAAAUAUUCAAAAAAUAGAAAUAUUUAAAUAGAAAGAAUAAGAACCAUUUUGUUAUAUAGGAAUAGGACUGGGACUAUGCUUACAUUUUACUAUCAUACAUUUAAUAGGGUAUUUUAUUUGGUUUUGGUGUUAGGUUUGGUAUAAGGGUAUCCUUGCUCAGUAAGAAAGAAUAAUAGCCGUUGGAUGGAGAUGCAUAAUUUGUAGGAGGAUGAUGAUGCCACGUGGCAUACUCUUUUUUAAUAUAUAUAUAUAUAUAUAUAUAUAUAUAUAUUUUGGUGAGCACAUGCUUCUACUUUUAUUUUUUUUUAUUUUAAGAAAAUCUCCAAUGUAAUAGUGUCUUGUCACGCUUUGGUGUACGGUUUCUUAGAAAUAAAAUUUUAACCAUAAAACUAAUAAUGUAUUACAAUUAUUUGCAAACUUUUAAAAUAAAUUACAUACACAUUUUUUUUUGUAUUAAUUAUUUACAGUUAUUUCAUAAAUCAAAACACCCAAAAAGGAAAAAGCAAACCAUACAAAAGAAACAUCAAUUUGAUAUCAAAUUAAGAAAAAUAUAUAGCCUUAUAAUAUUAUAUAUAUAAUGAGCCUACUAUACUAUCUGUAGUUACCGGUGCUCUGGUAAUAUAGUCUUGUUUGUGAUUUUAGAUUGUUCAAAUCAACGAUCCACACCGUUAAAUAUUAUUUAGAGUUUAUAAAAUUUUUAAAAAUAAAAUUUUAAUUUUUUUCAACAUCGUUUAUUUAGUAAGUGAAUCAUGUUAAAAUGAAAAGCAGAUAUUGAAUAAUUUUUAAAAUUUAAGGAUAGGACUUUUGAAUUUAAGAUCAUGAAUAAUGAUCUUGAUCUAAACAGUUUAAAGUAUUUUCUAUCAAAAUUUGAAUAAAUUUAAAUUCUUCUACACGGUUAAAUAGCAGUUAUUAAAAAUUGAUAAUUUUGAAAUGGUUUAAUCAAAAAGUAAACUAUAUCAAAAAAUUUUAAAAUUUUAUUUUUAAAAAUUCUAAAUGUGUCAGAUCAGUUUUAAUGGUAUAAAUCGUUGAUUUGAAUACCCUAAAACUGAAAACGAGCCUAUAGUACCGAAGUGCUGAUACUCUAUAUAUAUAAAUACACUUGCACACUUUGCCCUACUCUCUUAAUUUGUAGCAACCUUUAAUCCAUUCAUCCUCGAGAUCGGCGAUUUUGCGAUCAUCUGUCAUUAAUUCCGUCUCGAGAUUCGCGCGAUCCUUAGCUAUGCGAUUCUUUGUUUGAGCCUCUAUAUUCUUGUUCUUCAUAUAUAUGAAAAUGGACUGAUGAUAACACGAAGGAAUGGAACAUAAAACUAAUUGGUGGAGCAGAAGGAGCAGGAUACAUUAUCUGAAAAAACAAAAAACAUGAUGCCAAAUUAGAUUUUAAAUUAUUUAUAAAAAGUGGUGAAUACAGUUAAAAGUAUAGGAGUUAGAAUUUCAUGUAUCUUAUUUAGUUAAAUUUAGGGGUGGCAAUCCAGCUCGCUGUUUGAGAGCCGGCUCAUGUUCGGCUCGAAAUGAGCUCGAGAUAAAAUCGCUCGUUUAAUAAAAGAGCCGAACACGAGUUGAAUUCUUCAGCUCGUUUAAUAAACGAGCCGAACACAAGUCAAGGUCAGCUCAUUCGUGUUCGGCUCGGUAAUAGUUCGAAUAUAUAUAUAGAAAUAUAAUUUUUAAUUUUAUAUGUAAAUAAAUAAUUAAUUAUAUAUAAAAUACAUAUUUUUAUUAUUUGAUUUUUGGUUCAAUCUAAAUAUAAAUUCCAACUCAAUUAAAAAAAAAAAACUCAUUUAUAUAUAAUAUUUCAACCAUUAGAUCAAAAUAUAAUGGAUAAAAUAUCAUAAAUUUAUUUUUUAUAUAUAUUCUUUCUAAUUUUUUUAACUUGUUGUUCGUAAGUCGGCUACUGUUCAGCUCAUUUAUUAAUAAGCCAAAUACAAGCUAAAUUUUUCUGCUUAAUACUUUAAUGAGCCGGCUCGUGUUAUGCUCGUUUAUAAAACAAGCUGAACACGAGCCAGCCCUAACUCGUUCGUGUUCAUCUUGUUGACACCCCUAGUUAAAUAUAAUAGAAACUAUUACAAGUACAAAUAUUUUUUUGGUUGCAUAUAGUUGAGCCAUGCAUUUUGAAAUUUUAAUUACUUUUAUAUCUGUAGUGGUGAGAUUACUUUUAAUAUAAAAAAAGUGUAUUGUUUUUUAAAAAAUGAUUAAGAAAAUAUUUUUUUUAAAAAAAUUACUCUUUCUAAUUACUGCAGUUGAAACUGCGACAAAUUUGAAUAUAAUUCUAACCACACCAAUUAAAUUCAAAUGCAUCAAAUCAAAAUUCAAAUUCAUACAGUACAACUAUAUGCAAUUAAACACUUCCUAAAAAUUUCUUGCAUGCAAUAUAUGUUACAAAAAAUUCACUACACGUGUAUAAAAUUGCAAUAUAUAUUUUUAUUGUUCUUGAAUGAAUAAUACGUAGUCAUAUCAAAGUCAAAGAUUUUAAAAAAAAUCUUGAACUAUAAAAAAAAAAAAAAAGUACUCAUGAGUUUCGCUGCAACAAGAAGAUUUAAAACCCCCAAUUAAAGCAAACACAUAAACAAAUUAUAUGUUGGUAUAAUGCUAAUUUUUUAAUUGAUUAAGAGAGAGAGAGAGAGAUGCAUCUACUCACACGUGUCUCUUCACUGUUGGUUGGGUAGACCAGGUCCACGCUCUUGUUGAUCUUCUUGUGUAGCCAAUCACGGAGCUUCUCCGGAUCUACCCUCCCCACCACCUUCACCUCCCCACUCUCCAUGUUUGGUUCCACCCUCUCCACCCCUUCCACAAAAAAUAAAAGAAAAGUUAAGAGAGAGAGAGAGAGAGAGAGAUGUGAAACAUGCAAUUGAUUAUCCCGACAAAAGCUUAACAUAUCAAAGAAUAGUAACUUAAGGCGCGCCUUCUAUUCCGAUACUGUGUGCACUAAGUACAGUAUGCUCCUAAAAGUUUAAAUCGUCAACGAACAGUAAUUUUAAUAUUUUAACAAAAAAGAUAGAGGGAGAGCAGCCAGAUGGCGUCGAUUGGGAAUGGGUUCGCAGCGUGGUGUUGGGAGUUAUGGAAUGAGCGGAAUAGUAGAAUAUUCGAUAAUCAACUUGACCAAAGUGAAAAUCUAAGAAGAAGAAUUCGUUGCACUGUCAGCCAAUGGGUCUCGACGUUAGGAAGCUAAGAUUGUCCACGCUUGCUCAACAUUUGUCACUCAUUGGGUCGGUUUUAGGUUCGCAAGGGUAGAACUUUCGUAGAGAUAGUUUCUAUCUGUCGAUCCAAAAGAUCUGAUGUUGUUAAAUUGUUCUUGUACUUUGCUUUAAAAUAUGGUAUAUUCUUGUUCAAUCAAAAAAGAAAGAUAAGAGGGAGAGAGAUUUAACCAUGGAAGCUUGAGAUGGACUCCAUGCCUUUCCUGAUCUUCUUGGUGCAUCCAAUGCAUUGGCAAUGCAUAGCAAUCUUCAACAGGAAGGUCACUGUAUCUACCUUUCCACCUUUAAUUCCCUCCUGCAUAUAUAUAUAUAUAUAUAUAUAUAUAUAUAUAUAUGGCAAAUUAACCGAAAAAACGGUGAGAGAAAUCAAGUAAGUAUGCGCUUCGACUUCUUCUGCGUUCAGUAGAAGCAAGUCUAAUAAUGAGAUUCUGAGCUUAAAAGAUACUCAAUAAAAAAACUUCUUCAGCUGAUAUAUAGGACAAACAGGAUGGUUUUUCAUUAAAUGAUCCAUACACAAAAUUCUAAUGUAAAACCAAACAAAACUAAGUAAUAUGCAGAAGCUGUAAAUGCUCACCAUGUUAGAGAGAGGGUCAACCUUAGCUUUCUCUUUAUUCAUAUCCUACCAAAUGAUCUCUCCUUUGGAUGGAACUUGUGAGGAAAUAAAUGGAGGAGAGAGUAAGUAUUGUGUAUAUAUAUAUAUAGAGAGAGAGAGAGAGAGAGAGAGAGAAAGAGAGGGAGAGGAGAGAGAGGGCAGUUUUUGGAGCACUGGGGAGGAGGGGCUUUUAUAUAUAGCUAGGAGACUUUUUUUAUAAAGUAAUCUUCUAAAAUUUUUAAAUUUGCAAAAUGAUCCUUUCAAAAUUAUAUUUGUAAAAUUAACCCACAUUUCGCCACGUAGGCGUAGGGGUGAAUUUUUUUGGAUAAAGGCGGUGAAUCAUUUACCGCCUUCAGUAAGGCGGUGAACGAUUCACCGUCUUACUAAUAUAAUUAGCAGAGAAAUGGUAUUUUUUGGUAGUUUAAUUGCUGCUUGAGUUGGAAGUCCAGUAGGUUAGUUUAUCUGGGUUAAGGGUACAACUCUAUUAGUCUAAUCAAGUAGAAAGUGGUAUAUGUUAAUAAUUAACUUAUUGGCCUAAUUAAAGUACAGGAAUAUACUUGCUUUGCUUUCUCCCAUAGAAUGAUAUACGCAAGAGCCCCGCCAACUACUAUAUAACGCUUUUUUUUUUUUUAAACUAAGUGGCUGAGAUGUAAUAUGACUCAUAGUCGAGGAUAUGUAUUCAACUAUACAAAAUUGACUAACCAAUCUGGUCUAUGCUACUAAUACUUUUCUCGUGUUGUCCUAUUAAGUAAUCCAGGCCGGUAUUCUCUUAUGUUCAUGUUGCUACUAAUAAUUUUCCCGUAUCGACCUAUCGGCAGGUUACUUUAUUUAAAAUCUUAUCAUAAUCUUAAUUAGUUGGAGAUAAACAUGUGUUUAUAAAGUUGACUAAGACUUACAGCAGCUGUGUAAAGCGAAGGUUUAUAUACAUUCGAUGGAUAGCACUCGUGCAAAGGCAUGGAUGGUUUAAGUUUUCAGUCCAACCUCGUCGACGUUGACCACCGGCCUUCUUAGCAUUUGGCCCCACCCUCCAGCGGGCCCCACCGCGGAUCAGCCUGAAGGUGUCAUUUUCAAUAUUUAAGGAAAGCGUCCCCAUAUAGUCUAACAUAGUCUAACGUCAUAUUUAAAAGUGUCAGCAAAUGAAGAGUCGCUACGUAUAUACAGGUCAAAAAUUUAAGUAUUGUUGUACAGAAUCGUGCAGAAAAUUUGCCGGCACGGUACGGCACGAUUCAUGCCGAGACAUACCGAUGCGUGUCGGUCACAAAAAAUAUAUGUGUACCGACACGUAUUGGCAUCAAAUAUUUAUCUUUUUAGAAACAAAUUAUACUAAUUAUUAAUUAGUAUAUAUUUUUAUCAAAUCUUUUGAAUUUUAUUGAAAAAAAUUACUUACUAAUUUCAGGAAUAAAAGAUUUUGAAUUGUGCCAUUUGCAUGGGGACUGCAUCGUGCCGAUAUCUUACUGGCACGAUACAGUACGGUGGAUAUGAUCCGUGCCGAUAGGCACUUUAAUCCUUGAUACAGACGCUUAUGCCAAGUGUUAAUAAAAUAUAUUUUUUGAAAUUUUUAAAAAUCCUGACGUUUUAAAGCGUUGAAAUAUUAAAAAUAAUAGUAAAGUUUAUCAUUUAAUAAAUUAGCUGGUUUGAUAUAAUAGAGAGUUCAUAUGACAACGUUUUUUGAAGCAUCGGUAUUUGCUAUAUUGCAGGGAAUGCUUGGGGACGCUUUUUCCUAAUGUCGUCUAAAACACGUCCUUAUAUUGAAAUUUUUUUGUAGUGUUAUAAUUUAAGAGUUAACUAUGAUCCUUCACUCUACAGUUUAAAAAAUUUUGUAAUAUUCAACGAAUUAUUGGAUGGAGACAAAAUUAAUACGUGUCAGUGAAUCAGUGACUCUCUAAUUAAUAAGGAGUCAUUUUGGAGCUUCCCAUUGAAGUUUUAUCCGCCUUAUGGUUAACUUAUUACAAAUUCAUAUAUAAUAAUUAGAGAUUAUACAUUAUAGAUUAUAGAUUAUAUAAGAUUAUAGAUAACAUAAUGCAAUUGGAGGGACUCUCUCUCUCUCUCUCUCUCUCUCUCUCUCUCUCUCUCUCUCUCUGUGGGUAGCAUCUUAGCCUUCUCUCUCUCUCUCUCUCUCUCUGUGGGUACCAUCUUAGCCUUCGUUUGGUUGGGGGUUAAGGGGUGGAAUAACCCCUUAACCCCCAUUUUAUCCCCAAACACUUCUACAAAUAGUUGGGGUUAGUUAACACCACCUCAAAUGGGUUAUCCCGAGUUAGCUAACCUCACCUAACCCCACCAAACCUCAACCAAACACUAUUUUCUAUUCAUAAUAACCCACUAUCCUUCUUAUCCCACCUACUCCAACCAAACACUAUUUUUCACUAUCCUGGACUAACUCCAACCUCCAACCAAAUACAAAAAUACUCUAACCUCACCUUAACCCUAAACUUAAGACUAUCCCUGGAAUAAGUAGUUUUUCCUUAACCCUGAACCAAACUGUAGCUUAGAGAUAUAAAGGAUUUGGUAUGGGCAACUAUAUAUGCUUUAAUUAGAAGCAUGUGUUUUUAACUUUUGGGCCCUUGAAUUUCUAAGGUUUACAAGUUGAUGAUGUUUGCACUUAGCAAUGAGAAUUGAUCAGGAAAACUCAAGUAGGAUUAUGUAAUUAAACAAGCAUCUUCAAUGAGAAUGUCUUUGAGCCAUAUGAUUGUUUAAGGAGAAGAACCUAAAUCAAUUUUUCAUAACCCUAGUGUUUUUUUUUAGCCUUUUUUAAAAAAGUUUGUUUUUAACAUACAUUGUAAUCGAUCCGAAAGAGUCAUUUUGAUUUUAUCGAUAUUAAUUACUAAGAACGAAAAUGCAGUGGCAAUUAAUUCUAUCAAACACUUUUUUUUUUCAUUUAACAUACAUCUAUAAGAUGUUGAUAUAGGUAACAUGAUCAAAUAAAAAAAAACUGAAUUGGAUAUAUAUAUAUAUAUAUAUAUAUAGGAGCACUCUAAUACAAUUGGAAAAUAGCUGAACACAUUCUUGAGAAAAAAAAAAAAGAGAUUCAAUUUAAUUUCAUGAAUUUUAAAGUGCACAAAUUUGAACUCCUUUUCUUUCUUUUUUUUUUGUCCUAGGGGCCUUAAUUAUUUGAGUAAUUCAAAAGAGUAUAAUUAACCAUAUGAAUUUUAAGAGAGAUAAAGAGGUUUAAUUUCGAGAAUUAACUCUGUAUUUAGUACUAGAUAAAUGUUUGGGCUAAAGCCAAGAUAAAUAAAUAAAUUCUCAGAAAAAAAAAAAAAAAAAAAAAAACCUUGGACGUUGUAGAUGCGUAGUUUAAGUAAUCCUUACGUACAAUUUCCCGCGCGAAUCUCAAAGCACACGCGUCCCCCACACGGUAGCCUCCGCCCUCCUUUUUAGUCCCACAUCGAACGUUUAAACGACUUACAUUUUCUCUUAUAGUUUGCUAUCGGCAAGCACAGUGUCUCUUCGGAGACAUCCGAUAAAAUUGGAACGAUACAGAGAAGAUUAGCAUGGCCCCUGCGCAAGGAUGACACGCACAAAUCGAGAAAUGGUCCAAAUUUUUUUUUUUAAUUU
Molecule: long non-coding RNA, 49838 nt
Filed under: Ananas comosus (pineapple)
Lineage: Eukaryota; Viridiplantae; Streptophyta; Magnoliopsida; Poales; Bromeliaceae
Source: RNAcentral